Molecule: long non-coding RNA, 80852 nt
Filed under: Jatropha curcas
Lineage: Eukaryota; Viridiplantae; Streptophyta; Magnoliopsida; Malpighiales; Euphorbiaceae
Description: long non-coding RNA (JCUR_LNC002385)
Source: RNAcentral
ACUAAACCGGAAAAAAAAAAAAAAAAAAAAAAAAAAAAAAAACCCCAAAGACAAUUUGCUUAAAGAUCAAUACCUUUGGUUGUAUAGGAGCUCCAUUUGCGAUCUGUUUGGGAGAAUGAGAUUUUGGCAUCGACUCAAUUGGAGAAUAAGCCCGGAGAGAAGGAAGAGAUGGAAGUUUAGCAGAAGGCCUAGAUGGGUUCUCAUGUUUGCAGGAGACUGAGUUGACUCGCCUGGACUCAAGGCGUGGAAAAGGGAGGAAGCCGAGUUUAGGGGAGUCGAUUCGCCCGAGUCUAGGAAGAAAGGGACAGGGUUUGAGGUUGAGUUUGAUAGAAGUUGGAGAAGAAGAGUAUAGAAGCCUCUCCAUGGCCUCUCUCUCUCUCCUCUUUGUCACUCUCUGUUUGUGCUUUUUGUGGAGAGGUUUUACAGGGAAAGACUUUGAGGGAGACAAAGAAGGUGGGUUGGUGAGGAUAGCGUUUUGGCUGAGAGGGUUAACGGAAAAUUGAAAAUUCGGAUAUUUUCAAAAUAAAGUAAUACUGUUAAACAGUUUUUUUCUCUUUCUGUGUUUGAAGAAUACUAAAAGCUCUAAUAAUUGAUUUUAAUUUUUUAAUUUUAAUGUUUAACCAUGAUUUUUUUUAAAUUUUUAAUAUUAAAUAUAAAUAUGACUAGUAAUUAUCAUAAUAAAUGAGUUUAAAUAUUAGUAAUUUAAUAUUAUAGUUUAAAUGCACUUUUUUUAUCUAUUUUAAUGUUUCCUCUUUGUUUCAGUUUUUAUAUAUAUUAGUGCUUUUAUAACACAUAUUGCAAGUUGUCGUUAUUUGUUUUUUACUCAUUAUGCUCGUUCAUUAUUAUUUGUUAUAAUAUUAAGAUUUGUUAUAAUUUUUUUCAUAUUUUUUUAGAUUUUUAUAUAACGUAAAUAAAAUGACUAAAUAAUCAUAUUUUAUAUAUAUGUACUUUAAUUCAAUUUAUAAAUCUAACAUGUAUCUACAUUGCACUUUAACAGCACAUAGUACCACAAUGCUACUCAAUAAGUACGUUGUAAUGUAUAUACGUGUACGUAUACAAAUUUCUCCAUAUAUUUAAGAAUUAAUAACAUAUUCAUUUUUUAUCUAGCCAAACAAUUUUAAAAGGCAAUAUAUAUAUAUAUAUAUAUAUAUAUAUANNNNNNNNNNNNNNNNNNNNNNNNNNNNNNNNNNNNNNNNNNNNNNNNNNNNNNNNNNNNNAUAUAUAUAUAUAUAUUAUUUCUCUCCUAAUUAAAAACCUUUAAAUUAUAAUCAAAUAUUAAUUAUAUAUUUUAACUGGUAUUUAAAUUAAAAUUUUUAAUUAAAUAUUUUAAAUUACAAUCAAAUAUUAUAUAUGAAUUUUUAUUUAUUUGAUUUUUUAAUUUUUUUCUUAUUUCUCUCCUAAUUAAAAUAUUUUAUUGUAUUAUAUAUAUUGUUAUAUUAAAAUUUUUGUUCACCAUAUCAAAUAUUUUUAAAAUAUAAUUAUUAUAUAUUUGUUAAAAUUUAUGUACUCAUCACGCUCUAGUAUCUUUUAAAUUAUAAUCAAAUAUUAUAAUUAAAUAAUAUAUAUUUUUAAAUUAGAUAUUUCUAAUUACUAUUUAAAAUAUCUUAAAUGACGAUGAAAUAUUAAAUUUAAACUUUUAUUAUUUUUUCUUUUUCCUUAUUGUUCUCCUGAUUAAAACCUUUUAAUUAAAUUACAAUUAAAUCAAAAAAAUUUUUAUAUUUUUUAAGUUAAAAAUUUUUUAAGUUAAAUUUUUAAUCAUGAAAUACUAUUAUGUAUGUUAGUGCAAAUUUCAAUAUUUUAAGAAAUCUCAUUAUGUUUCACUUUUUUUAUAUAUUUAUAUACAGUAUUUAUAGAGAAAUUAUUAUUAUUAUUAUUACUCCAUUAUUUAUGGCUUUGAUGCUUAUUAGUUAUGAUAGUUGCGUGGCCCAUUAAAUUAUCGUUGACUAUACUAAAAUAAAGUAGCGGUUUCUGUUUGGCCACAACAAACCCUUAUAAUAAUCAGGUCCCUCCCGAUGGUUUAUGGUUUAUAUAUUUUGUCAUGUAAAUAUAUACAAAUGUAAAGCUAUCUUAUUUAGGGUCUAUCCACGGCACUAGUUGUUAUAGAAGUUGUUAGUUGUUUUAGGAGCCGUUAACCAUUAGUUAUUUAUAUAGUAGUUAAAAUAAAAGUGUUUGCUAAAAAAAUAACUGUUUGAUUAGCUGUUAUAAAUCAAAUGACAAAAAAUGACAUUGAAAUGUUGACUUUAAAAAUUGAUAUAUAUAUAUAUAUAUAUAGAGUAGCAAGUGUUUUUUUUCUUUUCUAAAUUAUUAUCAUUUUUUUUUUUAUAGCAAAAGAUUAUUUCUUAUAGAAUUGAAAUGAAAAAACUAAAAAAUUAUUUCUUGUAAUUUUUAUUUUAAGGUAAUAAGAAAUAACAAAAUAGAAUAAUUAAAAAUGACAUGUGAAACGCUAAAUGUUUGGAGAUUUAACAUUUAAUGAAACGAUGCCUAAUUUCUAAAUGUUAAUAUAAAUAUUAUAUUACCGAAAGAUGUAAUUAAUAGAAUAAUGUUGUUGUCAAGUAAAUCCUUAUUCCGUUUGGCUGAUAUGAUUUUUUUUUUUUUUUUUUUUUACUUCAAAAAAUAUUUUGAAGCUUUCCCAUUUUCAUGUUGAGUUGAAGCUUUCAUUCCACGAAAGAAUCAAAGUUCAGAAAUAUAAGUUUUUAGUUUAUCCCUUAAAAACUCCAUUUUUUAAAGUUAAAUAAUAGUUUAUUAAAUUUUUAUACGGAAAAGAGAAAGUUAAAACAAUGAAAUUAGGCUUCAAAAAUAAAAAAUUUUUUAAUUUUUUAAAAUUUUUCGAAACAUAUCACAAUCAGUUCAAUUUAAAUAAUUCGAAAUUGAUUGCUAAAUCAGACGUAUGGACUGCUGAAUUGAUUUAAAAUCAUAAAAUUCAUAAUUCCUAUUGACAUUUAUAAUCAAUAAUACCAUUUAGAGGGAGACCUUCAAAUUGCAUAAUUAAUUUAUUUUUUUUUUAUUUAUUGAAAGGCUUAACGGGUCAAGUUAAUACUGUGAGCUACACAAUAUAAAUAACAUUCCUCUGAAUUAACCAAAUUGGUAAAAACACUUAUAAUCGGGAGAACUCGAACUCGAAACCUCUCACUUCGUAUAAAUGAGAAGAUCAAUAAUACCACACUCCUAAUCGGUAUUAAUUUUUUUUAACAGCAUAAUUAAUUUCUUAUAAAAUGAGAGAGAUAUAAUAAAUAAGCUCUAAAUUAAUAAUUGAUACAAUGAGCCCAAAAGCGAAUUUGUCGAGGUGGCUAAUAGGAUAACAGAUAGAUUCAAUUACUUGGAGGUUUCCAAUUGUGAGAACAAAAGCUUUGAAUAUAUCAAACAGGAUAACUUAUCCGGUAGCCAUUUUUUUCAAAAAAAAAAAAAAAAAAGUGCAUAAAUUAAAAAGUCCACAUAUUAACACGUCAAACUUUGCGGUUGCGCUCACGCUAACACGCAUUCUCAAGGCGCCUCCUUGCGCUCGGCACACGCACCCAAUAGAUACUCCGCACGUUCAAUUUAAGAAGGCAGUGGACAGUUGUCCAUAUUAAUUCAAUUUUAAGAGCGAACACACUUGUCUACACCAGCUGUAUUAGCACAUCAAUACAAGAAAUAAAUAAUUAGUUGCGAUUUGAAAAAAUUAUUUUAACUAUUUUGCAGAACCGCAUAACACCGGUUCAAAUCAAAUCAAACCGAUGUUAAAUUGUGAUUUUAAAAGUUAGUGAUUUGAUUUGUAAAAUUUAAAGAUUUAGGUUUUAGUUAAAUUUAUGGUUUUAUAUUUAAAAUUGUGCAAAUCGCACCAAAAUGUUUUAUAUCUAUAAAAACUUUUAAAUGCUAAAUAAUUUAGUUUAAUUUUUAAUGAAAAAUUUCUCUGCAUUGCUUAGUUUGUAUUGCAUAAUAAUUAUAUAUAAUUUCAUAUCAUUUAAAUAAGUUAUAUAAUUAUAUUAUUUGUAAGUUCAAAUGUCAAAUAUUUUAAAAUGAUGACUAUUCACUGCUUAGUUUUUUUUUUUAAUAUUUAAAAAAAACUAAAAUAGAUACACUCAUUAUCUACUUUUCUUUUUCACUUGUUUCAAAUUAUAAUAUUUUUCAAAAAAAUAAUAAUUUUUGUAGUUUAUUAUUUUAUCUCUAUUUAAUGUGUAUUUCUUCCAACAAAUAUGCCACUAUUAUAAUUAGCUAAAUCUUGAAAUAAACAAAACAAGGUCACUAUUAUUGUCACAUAUAUUAACCAACCUAUUUUUAAUUACAUUUAUUCUUGUAUUAAAAACUUACUGGUAUUAGAACCCGCGCGAUGUAUGAAACAAUAUUAAAUAAUGAAAUAACAUCAUUCAAAAAUGAUCGUAAUCAAAAUUAUAUCUCAUUAAGAUAUGCAGAAAAUGUUGGAAUGCUAAGAUGUGUCUUUUUAAGUAUCCUCUAAAGCAUUUCACUAUGAUAUGUAAAAGUAAAAGUUAUACAUGGUAUAACCUGUAUAAAAAAAUAUACACACUAUUAAUUUAUUUUUAAAUAGUAAUAGUGAUUUUGGGAAUUUAACUAAUUAUAUUGAAAUAACAAAUUAAUUAUUUUUUAUAUUAUGUUUAUAAUUUAUUGUAAAUGAUUAUUUAUUUAUUUAAAAUAUUAAUGUAUUAGACUUAUUUAGUGUAAUGUGUCAUGCGCGUGUGGAUGUCAUACUUUUUUAAAAAUAAUCGUAUCUCGUACGUUCCUGCAUCUCGUAUCCUGUGUUCCGUGUCUGUACAACUUAACUCUUGGUAUAUGAGACUACUAUAUACACUAAGUCAAUCAACUAAGGUUAUUUUUUAUUAGCAAGAAAAAAUAAAGUUUUUUUUAAUUCAUUUUUGUGUCCUUUUUUUUUUAUUAAUGAAUGAUCACAAACACUGUUGUUACAACUAAAAAUAUAUUUCGAUAGUCUUGGUAAGUCAUUAGUUUUUGUCAAACUCUAUAAUUAUUUCCAUCAAAGAGAGAUAUUUUAAUGAAAACUGAUAAAUAAAUUGAAAUGAGAGGAUGUUAGCUUUAGGCUCCAUAUUGAUAAGAUUGGCCGAUAAUUUAACUAAUUAUAUUGAAAGAAAAAUUAAGUAUUUUUUUUAAAUUUGUUUUAUCUUUUUUUUUUUAAAAAAAAUAGUUCAACAACUUAAUUUAGAAUUAUAAUAUUUGUCAUUUUAUAAUUCAAAAUACUGCUAAGUGGUAAAUUGUACUAUUUACAUUUGGUUUUCAUAUAAAGAAAACUACUCUCCUUUUAUAUAUUAUAUAAAUAAAUUAGGUCUGGCCAAUACUUGAUAUUUUUCAAAACUAAAUUAAGAAAAAAUAAGAAGAAACUAAAAUUUAUUUCAAAAAAAACUUAUAUUACUUAAUUUUUUAUAUAAAAGAAAAUAAAAUUAAUUUUUCUCUACAAAUUUAUUUAUAGUUUUUUUAUUUUCUUUCUAAUUUGAAGAGAAAAUUAUCGAAAUUCUUUUUCCUUAUAUUCAUUUCUUAUUUUCAAAUUAAAUAAUUUUUGCUUAUUAAUAUUAGUUUAGCUUUCUUUUCUCUUCAAUAUUAUUUGAAAAUAUAAAACAAUUUAUUUCCUUACAAUAGUUUUCAUUAGAACUAAACUCUUUAUAAUUGUGCUAAAUAACUUUACAUUUGGCAAUUGGCAAUUUGAGAUUGACACUUGUCUGUCGUUUAAAAUAUACUGCGUUAAUUAGUGUUGUGAUCUAUCUUUUAGGGCCAGAUUGAUAUUAAGAUUUGGUAAGUUUAAAGCGAUGGAAGUCCAUAAUAAGUCUAACCUAGUAACCUACUAAACAAAUAAUAGCAAAAUCCAUAUAUCAUUUGGGCCUUAGGCCCACUAUCCAAGCAGUCUCUAUGACAGAUUGCCAUCGAUAAAUAUAUAUCCAUAGUUGUGAUACUCAGCUCGAAUCAAUUUACAUAACCAAUAAGAUACUUAUUUCACAGUGAAAAUUUUAAUGGAGGCUCAACAUCCUUUAUUCGUUCAGUAAUAUUACAAAUACUCACAUCACACUAAUUACUUUUAACUAAUACAAUCGCUUCUCUUCUUUUUUUUUUUUUUUUAUUCAUACAUUUCAAUUUAAACUACACUUUCGCCGUUAAACUACAUCUAUGGCUUUAUUUGCUUCCAUAAAAUAACUUAUCAUUAUUAUUAAUAUUUUUUAUAGUCUUAUGAGACAAAGACUUUAAUAUUUUUAACUAUAUUAUAACUAAACAACGAAAAAUAAAUCACUUGGAAAAUAUUUGUCACUUGAAUUGGAAAAUAUAUUGUUUAGCAAGUUAUUUUACGGAUCAUCUAUUAAAAUGAUGUAGCAUGAUUACUCAUGGACCCUAGCAUGUUACUUACCAAUUGAAAUCCAAGAUGAGCCUUGAUUCAAAUCUCUGCUACUGUUAGAACAGGUAGAUUAAAAGCGAUGUGAAGAUCUUCUGCUUCACGUCCUGUGACUUUUAAAUACCAGAGUUUUGGGGACUGGCUUUGAGCGAGUGUGAGCCAAUGCAAAUGUCUAACCUUGAUAGGAAUUUUGAGACCUUAUAAGCCCCAGCUCUCUCCGAACCCUGACAAGCAAAGAGAAAGAUAUGUAGAGAGUGAGUUUCGAGGAUGAGUUCACUCGAAUGUGGUUAAGUCGAAAUUCAAACUAUUUGGAGGGUGUGAUCAAAAGGAGAGAGAAAGAAGACAACAACAAAGAGGAGGAUGAUCGAAGUAAAGAGGAGGCAACGACGGAGGAAGAUGAGGAAUGGAUGUUGAGGUGGCUGUAGUAGGGCAAAAUGAUGACAUUUGGGGAAAAGAGUGAGUUUUGAGCCCUUGGUGUGUUUUAAUAUUCAAGUUAAACUAAGGAUAGUCAUAGUAUAUGAAUUCUACUUUUACAAUAUUUUAUUUAAAACUCUAAGUUAAAUUUAAAAUUAAAGAAAAAAUAUACCUAAUUUUAUAAAUUGGAAUUAACUAAAGUAUAAAGAACAAAUAGGUCGAUUUGAAGCCUCAUUUCCAAUAUAUAUAUAUAUAUAUUUUUAUAACAUAGUUGUAAUGCUUUAAAAUAUAAUUUUUUUGAUAUUGCUGCACAAAUUUAUUUAUUGUUCUUAUUAAUUUAUAUUUGUUUCCCUCCAAAUUUUGAAAUCUAUUUCUACUUCCUAGGCAUGGUGGUUCAGGUUCGAGAUAUUUAAAAUUUUGAACUGGAAUCGACCCUUGAACUUUUGGUUCCGACACAGUUCAGGCGAACCGACAGUUUGAAUUACGGUUCCGAUUCGAUUCCGGCAUUACGCAAAUUUUUAAAAAAAUAAUAAAAUUUUGAUUUCGAAUUCAUAAUAAAUAAUAAUUUUAAAAUGUUUCAAUUUUAUUAACUAAAUAAAUUAUUAUAAAAUUUUAAAAGAAAAACUUCUAUUAACUAACUUAGAACUAUUAUUACAUUAAAUUUACAAAUUUUGCUAAUUCACUAAUAUAGAAAACCAUAAAUGGAAUGAGUUGGAAAUUAUUAUUUUCAAAUACUAAGAAAAUUAUUAAAAAAAUUAAAUGAAGUAAAUUUAUGAAUGGAAAAAAUUGAGAUUAAAGAAAGAAUUUGGAAUUGGAUGUAAGAAAAUAAAAAAUAAAUAAUAGAUAAUUCCAAUAUUAAGGAAAAUAAAGCAAUAGAAAAAAUAAUGAACUAUGGAAAUUUGAGAGAAUUUUGAUUGAGAAUAAGAGAAGAGUUGAGAUAUAAUUGGUUGUGAAAUAAAAAGUCAUCAACUCAUCAUAUUUAUACAUGUUUCUCAUUUAUUAGUUUCCCAAAUUGUCCCUUAUAACAGAAAAAUAACAGCUAUAUUUUUGGAUAAUUUAGUAAAUUACAGUAAAUAAAUAAAUAAAUNNNNNNNNNNNNNNNNNNNNNNNNNNNNNNNNNNNNNNNNNNNNNNNNNNNNNNNNNNNNNNNNNNNNNNNNNNNNNNNNNNNNNNNNNNNNNNNNNNNNNNNNNNNNNNNNNNNNNNNNNNNNNNNNNNNNNNNNNNNNNNNNNNNNNNNNNNNNNNNNNNNNNNNNNNNNNNNNNNNNNNNNNNNNNNNNNNNNNNNNNNNNNNNNNNNNNNNNNNNNNNNNNNNNNNNNNNNNNNNNNNNNNNNNNNNNNNNNNNNNNNNNNNNNNNNNNNNNNNNNNNNNNNNNNNNNNNNNNNNNNNNNNNNNNNNNNNNNNNNNNNNNNNNNNNNNNNNNNNNNNNNNNNNNNNNNNNNNNNNNNNNNNNNNNNNNNNNNNNNNNNNNNNNNNNNNNNNNNNNNNNNNNNNNNNNNNNNNNNNNNNNNNNNNNNNNNNNNNNNNNNNNNNNNNNNNNNNNNNNNNNNNNNNNNNNNNNNNNNNNNNNNNNNNNNNNNNNNNNNNNNNNNNNNNNNNNNNNNNNNNNNNNNNNNNNNNNNNNNNNNNNNNNNNNNNNNNNNNNNNNNNNNNNNNNNNNNNNNNNNNNNNNNNNNNNNNNNNNNNNNNNNNNNNNNNNNNNNNNNNNNNNNNNNNNNNNNNNNNNNNNNNNNNNNNNNNNNNNNNNNNNNNNNNNNNNNNNNNNNNNNNNNNNNNNNNNNNNNNNNNNNNNNNNNNNNNNNNNNNNNNNNNNNNNNNNNNNNNNNNNNNNNNNNNNNNNNNNNNNNNNNNNNNNNNNNNNNNNNNNNNNNNNNNNNNNNNNNNNNNNNNNNNNNNNNNNNNNNNNNNNNNNNNNNNNNNNNNNNNNNNNNNNNNNNNNNNNNNNNNNNNNNNNNNNNNNNNNNNNNNNNNNNNNNNNNNNNNNNNNNNNNNNNNNNNNNNNNNNNNNNNNNNNNNNNNNNNNNNNNNNNNNNNNNNNNNNNNNNNNNNNNNNNNNNNNNNNNNNNNNNNNNNNNNNNNNNNNNNNNNNNNNNNNNNNNNNNNNNNNNNNNNNNNNNNNNNNNNNNNNNNNNNNNNNNNNNNNNNNNNNNNNNNNNNNNNNNNNNNNNNNNNNNNNNNNNNNNNNNNNNNNNNNNNNNNNNNNNNNNNNNNNNNNNNNNNNNNNNNNNNNNNNNNNNNNNNNNNNNNNNNNNNNNNNNNNNNNNNNNNNNNNNNNNNNNNNNNNNNNNNNNNNNNNNNNNNNNNNNNNNNNNNNNNNNNNNNNNNNNNNNNNNNNNNNNNNNNNNNNNNNNNNNNNNNNNNNNNNNNNNNNNNNNNNNNNNNNNNNNNNNNNNNNNNNNNNNNNNNNNNAAAAAACUAUAAAUGGAAUAUAAAAUUAAUGGAAUGAGUUGGAAAUUAUUAUUUUCAAAUACUAAGAAAAUUAUUUAAAAAAUCAAAUGAAGUAAAUUUAUGAAUGGAAAAAAUUGAGAUUAGAGAAAGAAUUUGGAAUUGGAUGUAAGAAAAUAAAAAAUAAACAAUAGAUAAUUCCAAUAUUAAGGAAAAUAAAGCAAUAGAAAAAAUAAUGAACUAUGGAAAUUUGAGAGAAUUUUGAUUGAGAAUAAGAGAAGAGUUGAGAUAUAAUUGGUUGUGAAAUAAAAAGUCAUCAACUCAUCAUAUUUAUACAUGUUUCUCAUUUAUUAGUUUCCCAAAUUGUCCCUUAUAACAGAAAAAUAACAGCUAUAUUUUUGGAUAAUUUAGUAAAUUACAGUAAAUAAAUAAAUAAAUGAUUAAAAAAUAAAUAAAAUUUAUUUACCAAAAAAUAAAUAAAAACCACCUAUCAUAUAAAAAAUUAUCCGUUACACUCUUUUUUUUUUACAGUUGAAAGUAUUUUUUUUUCACCACUUUUUAUAACUUAUAUAUCAUUUUACUUCUUUUCACUAUAAAUCAAAUCAAGUGAUAUAAAUUUUUUUAUAAAAAUUUUAAGCUACAAUUUUUUGUGCAUCCGGUUCGAACGGGACCGGAACCGCCGGUUCCGGUUCAUAUUUUAACAUUGACAUGAAUCUUAACCGGCCCUUGAACCGUCGGUUUCUGUUCGAUUUCAAUUCGUCAACAGUACGGUUCGAUUCCGAUUAGAAUCGAACCGGUGGCAUGCCUACUACUUCCGAUCUAAGAUUAUUUAUUUAGUUUUAGAUGUAGCGUAUUUUUAAUUUUUUAUUACAGGUUCUUGUAAUAUACCUUGGAAAAAAAAAAAAGAACUUAAAAAACUAGUGCGUCUGACGCCGUAUUCUCUGUUUGGUCACUGAGUUGUCAAUUUGUUGAGGCAUGGUAAACCUGGCAUUAUAUAAACCAUAAAGGACCAAUAAGUAAUUCCGUACCAUCGCAAUCCAAAACCAAAAGGGGAAGGGUCUUCACGGAACCCCUAUAAAUAUCACAAUUUCCUCAAUUUCUCUCAUUUUUUCCGGUUUCACCUUUGUCCUUCCUCUUUCCCGCUCUCUCAAGGGUUAGGGUUUCUCUUUUUCCAAAAUUUCAAUCACAGUAACAAUGUCGACAUCCAAGAAAGUCACUCUCAAAUCGUCCGACGGCGAGACUUUUGAGGUGGAGGAAGCGGUGGCGGUAGAGUCGCAGACUAUAAAACACAUGAUCGAGGAUGACUGCGCCGACACUGAGAUACCGUUGCCUAACGUGACCAGCAAGAUCUUGGCUAAGGUCAUCGAAUACUGCAAGAAGCAUGUCGAGGCCGCCACUGCUGAUAAGGACAAGGAUAAGUCCUCCUCUGAUGAGGCUCUCACGACUUGGGACGCCGAUUUUGUCAAGGUUGACCAGAAUACCCUUUUUGAUCUCAUCCUGGUAAGCUUUUACUUUUCUUUUUAUUUCUUGCCUAGCUUUCACUUUCUUAUUUCUAAUCUUGAAUAAUUUGCUGUCUCUCUUAAUUGUGUGUUAUUUCUUCGAAUGAUACAGUAAGUUUUACUGACGUUGAAUAAUUUUACAAAUUCUCCUCAUAUUGAUUUGUGUUCGUUUUUUGUUUGUUGUGUUGCACUUAUGAGCCUAGAUGUUUGUGAGCACUUAGGUGAAAUUCAGGAUAUUAAUAAUCCGAUUAUGGUUUUUUUUUUUAGAUUAUCAGAAACUGGGUCUUAUUUGCAGUUAGAAUAUAUCUACGGGUAAUGGGUAGAUUAUCCAUACAAUUAGAGACGGGACUCAUUUGCGUUUUAUGUUAUAUGUUCAUUAUAUAAUUGCAAUUUUGUAAACUUUGUAAAUGGUUUGGGAUUCUGAUGAUAUUAAUGUUAUAUAGAAAAUAUAGUUUGGUGGAUUUCUUGUUGAUUGUACCUUUCUAUAUAUUGAUAGCUUCUGCUUUACUGUGUUUUUUAGUAAUAAACUAUGAAACAUGAACCUGAUUUCAAGUCAUGUGCUAGGAAAGGUGAUCUUUAUGUGUGGGGCUUUUACAUGGGUAACUGCCUUCUUUUUGACUUUUCUUUUAUAUGAUUCUGCUUUAUAGCCUUUUCUGUUUAAUUUGCUUUUUUGCUCACCUACUUUUAUCUAUUUGUGCAGAAUAUGUCUUUUACUUUGUGUAUUGUGUGUUAUCUUUCGUCGUCCUCGUUAAAGAUGAGUUGCAAUCACUCAUUUCUAAUUAUUUUUGCAGGCUGCUAACUAUUUGAACAUCAAGAGUUUACUAGAUUUGACUUGCCAGACUGUGGCUGACAUGAUCAAAGGGAAGACUCCGGAGGAGAUUCGCAAGACAUUCAACAUUAAGAAUGAUUUCACCCCAGAGGAAGAAGAGGAGGUUCGAAGGGAGAAUCAGUGGGCAUUUGAAUGAUGAAUGUAAAAUGUCCUUGCAAUGUGCAUAUGAUGGUAUGAUGAUAGGAAUGUCGAUAUACGAUAGGAUGCUGUUUUUGUUCUGUGUCUCUUAAUGUGGAGGAUGAUUGGAAAUUUCCUUUUUAUGGUUGACAGCAUGUUUCUUUGAACACCUUAUUCUAAUGUAAUAGAGUUGAUAUCUAAAUGUGCAUGUCUCAGUUGAUUAUUUUUUUUCGUUGCUUUGCUUUCUUCCUUCAGCUGGUUGCUAUGCAUUAUGAUAAUUGCAAAUUUUGUUCCUGACUGCUAAUUCACAGGAAUGUGAUUGUUCAAUGCAUGGUUUAGCUGAUGAUCAACACUAAGGAUGUAUUGUCUGCUUCUUUAAUUGCUGUCAUUUCUUGCUCGAAUAUGACAGGGUAUAUCAUAUGAAAUAGAUUUUUGAUUAAUCGUGCAAUUUACAUAGGAUAUAAUCAAUUGUAAAAUCAAUAGUUGCUUAUGAAAUAUUUAUUAUUUUUAUUGUAAACAAGGAAAUAUUGAAAGAAUAUCAUUUAUUACUUUUUGAAAUAUACAAAAUGACUUAUAUUUUGAAUCAAAAUAAUAAAUUAAAAAUGAUUUAUAUUUCGGAACAGAGAGAGUAAUCUAUAACUGCCAUCAAUCAAUAUCAACCGUUGAACUAAGUAGACCCAUAGUCUUUAUUGGUUUCAUUCAUUGCUCUUCGCCCCUUCUAGUCUUUAUUUUCUCUUUGGAACCAAUUCAGUUGUUUCCCCUUGUUUUAGGGGGGCCUAUUUUGGUAGAAUUGAGAGAUUCUUAAUAUCUUUUAACCAGUCUAAGGAUUUAUACGAUGAUGGUACAAAAAAAUUGCUUGGAUAUUUCCAUUUGAAGUUUAGAUGUUUUGGUACUAUGAAAGAUUGUUACUCGACUUAUUCCCUCCAUUCCGUUCGAAUUUGAAUGUUCUUAAUUUUUCAUAAGAAUUAAUGUUUAAAUCACCUUAAUUUUAAAAAAAAUAAAAAUAAUUAACUACUUUUUAAUUAAUGCUUAUUUAAUUGAAACAAAAUUUAUUGUAGGAAUUUUUUUUAGAAUAAAAUUUAUUAUAGAUAUUUAGACAAGAAUAAGUUGAAAUAAAAUAAUUAAUGAAAUAAAAUAAUUAAUGCUAUUUUGAUUUUCUAAAAGUGUAAUCUAAUACUACCUUCGUUCCAUAAUACUUGUUACAUUUGUGGUUUCAAGAAAUAAUAAAUAUCUUUCCAUGUUUACCCUUUGUAUAUGGCAAUAAUUAUUAUUUUAAUUUAAUGGUUUUUUUUUGAAAAAAUUAACAUUAAAUUAAGGAUAAUAUAGUCAAUUUACUCAAUAAUUGAUUAUAACUUAGACAAAUUUAAUGUUUUUCUUAAGGAAUGUGAAAUUCCAAAUGUUACAACUUCCUUUGUCCUAUUUAUAUAGAGAAUGUCAAAAUUUCUCUAGAAUUAAUGAGGUGGUCUUUUUGUGAAAUUCUUCCUAAUUUACCCCUAAAAAGAUAUUGAAGUGGUCCCCAAAUUUCAAUAAAAGGUGAUAAAUGAUGAGAGAGAGGAUAUGCUGCUUAAAUAAAGCAUUUUAUUUGUUUAGACUUUCAAUUGCAAAAAAAUGUAGGCCGAUUAAUUGCAAUUGCACACUAAAAUUUCAUUAUUAAAUUUGGCUUGAAAAAAUUAGCGUGGAAGUUGAAAGAAAGUUUGAAGCCAAAAUUUUCUACUUUAAAUUCUUUAUUUUGCUUCUCCAAAUUAACGUAUAAAAAAGUGAAAUUUUAAGUCAAAAGUUUUCAAAACUGAGUGAGUUCACAAUUUUAAAAUUUAAUCCACCAAUAUCAUGGACACAAUCCUUCAUUUUGAUUUGAAUACGGUCCCUCAAUAUUUGCUUGCAACUUCAGAAGAUGUGCCCAUAUUCAACAAUCAACCCUUAGAUUUGAUCUCCUUGUCAUUCACUCAAUAACCGCCUUCUAUAGAAUCUGAAACCACACCACCACCAAGUAACGUUCCAGAAGAGGUUCGAAAAGACAACAAAAGGAAAAACAUCAUUGAAAAUGUGAAAAAUACAGUUUGUAUAUUACUAUUUUCUGAAACUGAAAAGGGCGAGUCAAAUGCUCACAGUAUUCGUAAAGUUGCAGACAUUUUAUCCAUAUCUACUAAGACAAUUUACAGAAUUUGGCAUAACGUAAAAAAUAAUAAUUAUUUUUAUUUAAGCAAUGAAAUUAUGGUUUAGAUUUUGUAUCUCUUUCUUUAGCCAUUUAAGGAGUUCAUGAGAGUAAAUAUAAAUUGCCACAAAUAUUUUUAUUUAAGCACUGUCGUUUGGAGGAAAAUUUUCCUUCAUUCAGGAGCUGUGAGUAAAUUGCACUGUAUGUGCACACUUAAAUGUUAAGCAUAAGCUUCUUAGUGAAAUUUAGUCUGUGUGCAUAAUGUGCUUGAAUCCCAUAUUUUCUUAAUGCACAGUUCAGUCAAUUUUUGAACAUUAAAUGUCAACCACAAUAAUGUCUGCCACUUUCUUAAAAUACUAUUAAAGUAAAUGUUUAAUCUAUAAACUAAAGCAAGAGCAUAUUGGAUUUUUUGCUUUGGCAUUAGUCCCAAAUUACCAUAUUUGGAAAAUUUCUCUAUAUAAAUAGAACGUUCCAAAAGGAAAUUUUCUCUAUAUAAAUAGAAUGGAGGGAGUAUUAUAGAACAGAGGUAGUAAUAGUAAAUCAUAAAUUCUAACAGAUUUUUACUUUUAAAACUUUCAAAAAGAAAAAAAAAACUUUCAUUCAAAUCAAAAUCCUCAUUAUACUAUCUCUGUUCGAUAAUACUUGUCACAUUUAGAAUUUCACUUUUGUUAAAAAAAUAUUAAAUUUUUCCAAGUUACAAUAAAUUAUUGAGUAAAUUGAUUAUAUUACCCCUAAUUUAAUACUAAUUCUCCAAGAAAACCAUUAAAUUGAAAUAAUAGUUAUUGGUUAUAUACAAAGGGUAAACAUGAAAAAAAUAUUUAUUACUCUUUGAAACCACAAAUAUGACAAGUAUCUUGGAACAAAUUAUUUUCUCAAAUGUGACAAGUAUUAUGGAACAGAACAUUUAAUUUUAUGUAUAUGAGAAUCUGUUUCAUUUUUGCAACUAACUUUCAAAUGUUUUUUUACUAUAUAUAUAUAUAUAUAUAUAUAUAUAUAUAUAUAUAUAGAAACACCCCGAAUUUUUAUUUUUGAAACCUUUGAAUUUUUAUUAAAUUAAAAAUCAGAAAUUUUGACUAUGUGGGCUACGAAUAGAAUAUAGUCUCGAUUCGAGCUCAAAUUUGCCAGCUCAGCCCAAGCCCAAAAAUAUAUUAUCGGAAUCUUCGAUACAUUUAAUUUUAUGUAUAUGAGAAUCUGUUUCAUUUUUGCAACUAACUUUCAAAUGUUUUUUUACUAUAUAUAUAUAUAUAUAUAUAUAUAUAUAUAUAUAUAUAUAUAUAUAGACACACCCCGCGUUUUUUUUUAUCCAAAAAUCAAGUAUCAUUAUUAUUAUUGUUUUUAUUGUUAUGGAGUAAAAUGGAGAAAUGUUAUGGAAUCUAACUAAAUUAAUCAAAAUAAAUCGAACCGGGCCCGAAAUUCAAAUUUAUUUUUCGAAAACCACAUGAAUAACCUGAAAACCAAGUAAAAAAAACCUGCGAACCGAGCAAAAUCGAGCCAAAUCUUUGAAUCAGACCAAAUCGGUUCGAAUCGAACCGGAAUGAUCUAGAAAUCGACUUAGUUUCUUCUGUUCUUCCUCUCUUCUUCUUCUUCAGCACGCGCGACAGCCUCCUUCUCCUCCCUUUCCUUCUCAUUUCCGACCCUCGCUCGACGAGAGCGAGGUGGCGAUCGCCUUCCCUGGGGCCUUUAAUCCAUUUUCCCGCCUCCUUCCCCGCUAGCAGAGCCUCCAGUGGCGCGAACGAGACUGUCCCCGUCGACAGUUCUCGUUCUUCGAUCUCUGGCGAUACCAGGCGAUUCUGGCAAUGUGAAGCUUCAAGGUGAGCUCUGAUUGAUUCCUCUGUCUUGUGUGAACAAUUCCCAUCCAAGAAACGACGGUUUUGGUGGAAGGAACUGGAACCGCCAUGAAUAGCGGUAAGGGGCUGCUAUCAAGCUCGUUUCGACCAACUAGAGGGUUGAUCUCACUAAACCAACGCCGGAAAUGGAAUCCUUGCUGAAUUUCAAGUUGAAUGGUAUGAUCGUGGCGAAUUUCUGGGCAUUAUUGAUUUUCUGGCCACUGUAAACGGCGGAGGCGACUGCGUUCCGGUGACCGGCCGGCGAGACUCCGGCGAGGCACCAAGGACAGAAUUUUCCUCUCUUCGCGAGGAUUGUGGAAUCGUCACCCAAAUUUCAAUCGGUACGUUCUAAGACCAAUUUCCUAUUUUUGGUAUAAAUGCUUAAACUUAAUACUUAUUAGUUGAUUAAAUUAAAUUUGAAUGAAUAAUCAAUCAAAUAUAAUUUUUGCUAAGAAUCAAUCGAUAUAAUGUGGAUGCAAAUUAGUUCUGCAUAUUGUUAUAUAUAUUUCAUGAACAUUAGUUACAACUAGAAGGUUCGGUAUUAAGAUAAGAAUUCCUAGCUAAUAUUUAUGUAAGCUAAUUUAGGAAUUUUAAUAAAUAUUGGUAGGGGAGAGUUAUAAUUUAAGGCUUAGACAAGUAAAUAGUUUUAAAGCAAUUAAUAAUAUCAUUGAAUCAUGCUUGGAGGUUAAUAUAGUUUGUUAAUUAGUUAAUUUGGAACNNNNNNNNNNNNNNNNNNNNNNNNNNNNNNNNNNNNNNNNNNNNNNNNNNNNNNNNNNNNNNNNNNNNNNNNNNNNNNNNNNNNNNNNNNNNNNNNNNNUGGGUUGUGUGAAUUGAUUGAUCGAAUAAUUGAUAAAUAAGGUUAUGGCGGACGGGAUGAGUUGAUUUGAAUUGACCGACGGAUGGGCUUAGAUAUUAUAUUGUUGAAUUGUGGUUUAGUCAAAUUUUAGGGGAGGUGCUGCCGAAAUUUCAAUAGAAUCUAGACUAGUUUUAAUUAAUGACAUAAUUAAUAAGUUUAUUUAGAUUAAUUCUAUAACUUAAUACAUAAUAAAUAGAGUGCACUGAUUAUUUAUUAUCUUUAUUAUUCAUUUAAUUAUUUAAUUAUUUAUUUAUUUGCAUUGAUUUUGGAUGUUUAAUUAUGCAUUGCAUUACGAUGUUUAAUUGAUUAAUAUGUCUGCAUUUGAUUGCAAUGUUGGAUUAAUUGUGUUGUGAUAAUGCUAUGCUUUAUUUAUGUGGAAUUGGGAUGAAGUGGGUCACCAUGGGUUUGUGAGACCGUUACUGUUAUAUGGAUCCUGAUUACCGUUACCGUUAUAUACCGUUACUGUUAUAUGGAUCCAUUACCGUUAGCCGGGUAAAUGGCAGAUCGGCGCCCCCGUGUGCACCUACCGUUACCGUUACCGUUAACCAUAGGAUGACUGCUUGUUGUUGCGCACCUGAAAAUCUAGAUUUGAUCGCAGCCCGCAGGGUGGNNNNNNNNNNNNNNNNNNNNNNNNNNNNNNNNNNNNNNNNNNNNNNNNNNNNNNNNNNNNNNNNNNNNNNNNNNNNNNNNNNNNGGCCAGUAUGGGGGAUCGGCUCCCUAGUGCACAUGUGAGUGGAUGAGCCAUGUGGGAGGACGACUCAUCGGGGUUUCGGUGACACCGCUGACUAAUUUCCACGUGAUGUGAUUACAUGAAGAUGUUAACGAUUGUGGGUGCUGAUAAUAUGCAAUUUGUGUGAAUUCAUGUGUUGUGAAAUAGGUAUUCCUUCUUAGAAGGUUCACAUAUCUUGUUUAAUUUUUCAGGAAGUAAGUUUCUCUUCAAUUCGGUUAAGUUAUGUUCCUUUGCGCAGGGCUAGAAGAAAAUUUUUCCAGUUUCAUAAUUAUUUUGCUAUGUAAUUAUAUGUAUAAAAAACUAUGUAUACCAAAUAGUUAGUGACUCCGCAGUUGUAGAAUUUNNNNNNNNNNNNNNNNNNNNNNNNNNNNNNNNNNNNNNNNCUCAAUAUUAUUAAAUAUAUAUAUAUAUAUAUAUAUAUAUAUAUAUAUCAUCAUUCAUGGUUAUGGGAUUACAGUAUAUCUGUUUUGCAACGAAGAGUAAAGCUUAAUUAAUUUUUUAAAUACUUGCCUAAAUCAUUAAGAGCAAUCAUCAAUUAUAAAUUGAUUGCUAAUAAUUUAGCUAAUUUAAUUUAUUAAAUAAAUUUAAAGCGAAAAUUUUAACUAAAAACACUAAUCAAUAUAUAUAUAUAUAAUCUUGAAAAAAAAAAGAAUUUGACUUGACUCUCUCCAUCGAUCCUUCCUAUUUUUCUUUUUCUACAAAUUUUUGAAUUUUCUACUUUAUUUUUUGAAAUUUUUGAUAGGAUGAUUCUUGUUAAUGUUUUUAUAAUAAUAAAAAUUAAUCUAAAAUUAUUGAAUUUUAAAAUUUUUGAAUUUUUUUUAUCUAAAUCUAUGUAGCUAUAUGUAUAUAUCUAUAAAUACCUCCCACUUUCAAUGAUUUUUUCACAAUGGUCUGUCUUCAUAUUGAUUUGUUGUUUCUUUAGAUUAUUUUACUUUCAAUUUUUUGAGUUUUGAUUGUACUAUAUAAAUUUUUAUUUUUUUAUUUUAAUAUAUAUUGUUAUUAUUGUUUUUCAGAUUUUGAAUUACAAAAAGACGAUAUUAGCAAUUUCAAUCGAUAUAUAUCAUGUCUCUUCUUCUUCAAUUAAGUACAAUAAAUUAUAUAAUAUAAAGUAUGUUUAAUAGUAAAUUUUUUCUUGGUCUAUGUAGUUUUUAAGUUUAUGAAUGAAAUGUCAAUAUUUAUUUAUUUAUUUAUUUAUUUAUUAUUAUUAUUAUUAUGUCAUUUCUUUUAUCUGUUUUAAUUAUUAGGUAGGAGAUUAUUAUUAUUUACAUAAAUUAAAAGAAAAAAACAUUAAAUCCAAUAAAUACAUUUAAAAUAACAAAGAGAGCUUAUAAGAUAACAUCUAAUAAAUUAAAAAAUAAUAAAUUUAAUACAUUAAAAAUAAAUUUAGUUACCAUUUAUAUUUAAAAUGAUAUUCUUAUAUCCUUAAAAUUUUGUUUUUAUUAUUUAAAUAUUAAAAAAUUAUUUUUAACAAUCAUAUUUUAAAAUUAAUAGUCAUUGACAAUAAUUAUCUAUAUCUAUAUCUAUAUUUUAAUUUUAAAUUUUGAACAUUUUUGUCUUUUAUUAGAUCACUUAAGAUACUUUUUCUAAGUGUAAAAUUUAAAAGUUUUACUUAUUUAAAAUAAUUAUUUAAUUUAUAUUUGAAUUUUGAAUAUUUUUAAUUUUAUGUUAUGUCUAUGUAUUUAUAACGAUUAUCUGUUUUUAUAUCUAUGUAUCUUCAUCACCAUCAUACUUGAAGAUGAUCAAUAAAAAAAAUUGCAAGUGAAAUAAUUUUAUUCAUCAUCACCAUCAUACUUGAAUAUGAUCAAUUUAAUUUUCUAGCAAUAAUUAUAUGGUACAAAUAUCAUUUAUUAUUUAAUAUUCACUUUAUGAUUUUAAUUUUUUUAAAAAUAAUAAAUAAACUUGGUUUUUCUUUUAUUUGCAGUUGCAAAAAGAUUUGAAUAAAAGAAAUCAUAUAAUCAAUUGCCAAAAUUAUAAUAAUUUGCUUAAGUUGAAAAAUGAACAUAAUUCAUGUUUUUUCUAAAAAAAAAAAAGCCUAAUAAAAAGCACAAAAAUUUAAUUUUAUUAACACACAUAACAGUAAUUGAUAACUCAUCUAAAUCUAUUUUAUAAAAGAAAAUCAAAUAUCCCACGCUGCAGGCCUUUAUCUAGUUAAAAUAAAAUUCUACAAACUGAAAAAGGCAAUUAUGAAAGUUAAAAGUUAGAACUUAGAACAAAAAUUUUCAAACAAUCAUCUGCUUUAUAUAUAUAUAUAAGCCUAAAAAUGAUCACUUUGAGAAAAAAAAAAUCAAGAAGGAAUGUGAAUAAUUUCUGCUACAAAUUAAUAUGGUUAAAAAACAAAUCUAAAUAUUUAAAAUCUAAAAUCUACGUACACAUAAUCAUUAAAUGAUUUUGUAAUGCAAUAAUAAAAGUAAAAAAGGACUAUUAGCAAAAUAAAAAAUAAUUUUUUUUUGUUAAAAAAAAAAAAAUUAAAGUCAGACAACCUGCCUGUGAUUAAUUAGACAAAUAUUAAUUGCCAAUUAUUAAGCAAAUAAACUAAAAAUGUCUCCUUAUAACUAACUCUCAAAACAACGACGAACCAAUUCUCAAAAGAAUCUAAACCCUAACUUUAAUUAACUAAAUAAUAAUUCAUAUUAAAAAAAAUUAACUAAAUAAUAACUAUCCAGUGAAGUCAUGCAUAUAGCUCUUGUAAAGUUCAGCGGCAGCUUUAGCAGCACAAAGACCAGCAGUAAGAUUAAUCUUAUCAUCUUCUAAUCUUCUGCACUCUAUUUCCAAAUCAUUCAUAUGCUUACCCAAUUGCUCGAUAACCGAGCUUUGCCUCCCAACUUCUGCAGAAAGAUUCUUACUCUCUUCUCUUAACUUUCUGCAACUCUUGACUUUCAUUCCAACAUUCUUUAUAGUAAUCUACUGAUGAUUCCACAAUCUGAAUCUUGUCCUCCAAAUCACUUUUCUCACUUAACGUUCUGUUAUAAUUUUUUUCAUAAUCACAAGCAGCACUGUAGUAAUACUGAUGAGCUGAAUUCGCUUCAGAAAGCUUGUCAUUAAGUUCAUUUUUCUCUUCUGCCCAUCUUUUUUGGGCUUCUGCAAAAUCUAACUCCAUUUGUUGAUAAUUUUCUAUUAACUGAUAAACAGAACCAAGCUUUUCAUGUAGUUCUUUUUUCUCCUCAUCAUCAUUUUCAUACUUUCUUGAAUUCUCUUCUUGAACUUGCUCCAACAUUUUUAGACUCUCUUGCAGUUUUUCUUUUUCUGUAGUUUCAUAUCUAAUAUCUGCAAUAAGUUUCUCUUUCUCUUCCACCAACUUAAGGAUUUGCACAUCACAGAAUUUAACUGAGACAUCAAAAUCCUUUUUCAUCUUUUUGAGUGCUUGCUCAAAGAUCCGUUUCUCCAUUGUCAAUUUCUUGAGGUCCAUUUCGAGAAAACCGCAUCCACAUUUCAAUUUAAUUAUUUCUUCGCCUUUUUGGUCCAGUAGUCCAGGUGGUUUCAGUUGUUCUUGUUCUUUUGCUUCUUUCACUUCUUUCUGGUCUGCUACAGUUGCUUUAAGUUCUAUCUUUGAUUCAUGUUUCGAAUUAUUCCUGUUUUGAGCCAUUUCUUGAAUUUUCUCCGAUGUCAACUCAGAUUUCUUUGCUCUUUCUUCCUUAUUCAAGUUCUGUACGUUUCUAAUUUUUCUAUUUUCCACCUCAUUAUUAACAAUAUAAUUUGAUAUGCGUUCCUUGAGAUAAUCCAAAUACACUUUCAUUGAUUCGAGAUGAGCUUUCUCUUUGGAUCUUUCUUUCCUAAUCUUCUCAGCUUCCUCUUUCGAUGCAGCCUCUUUGAUGAUCUCAGCUUUAUCUUUGGAUGGUUCCAUCUCGGUUUCAGUAUUCAAUUUCUUGAUUAGUUCUUGACUCUUAGUAGGAUCCUGCAAAACAUAUUCUGGAAAGUUAAUGGAUAUAUAAAUACUAUCAACAAUAACCAAGGAACUUGAUAUUAAUUCAUUCUAAAUUGAACAGCACUAAACUUGUAUUGUAUUUUGUAUGCCCCAACGAAAUAUAGUAUAGUCAGACAUUAUAUCAGGUUAUUUCAAGAACUUUUUUUAUCAGCAACAUAUAUAUGUAUACUAUUAAUUUAUAUCCAAGAAAAACUUAAUCAUUUUCAGUUUAUAAACCUAAGUUACCUAGUAAAUGCCAGAUAAAAAAAACCUAGAAAACCUCAAUUUACAUCAGAUUGGUUAUGUAAUUACUUAAUCAAAAACACUAAUUGAUAUCAAUGUCAACUCAUGAAAAAAAAAAAAAAAAGUUAACUUUUAACUUUUAGCAUUUUAUGAAAAACUACCUAAAUUAUUAAUAGCUAAACUCUAAUAAAAGCCGUGUUAGUUAAAUAUCUUUUAGCGUAAAAAAAAACUAAAAGCUAACUUUUAGAUGUUACGUUAGUAUUUUAUAAAAAAUUAAUUCCUGUAAAUAGAUAAAAAAACAGCUAAUUUUGCGAAAUAAAUCCAAUUUUAUUGUUGCAGACAAUAUCAAUACAAAGCAGUUACUCUAAUAUAUUGAGAUCAAUAGUCGAGCAAACAAGAAAUUGAUUAAUUAACUCUCUCUCUCUAUAUAUAUAAAUCAAUUACAGGAGAACUUACAUUAGGUUUAGCGGUAGCAAAUUUUUGGAGAAGGCCAUACGAAAGUAGUAUAUGAGAUAUAAUUAUUAUCACCAACGACGUAAAAGCGCCUAAACCCUUAACGUAAACCUCAAUAUCUCCAAAACAACAAUGAAAGAAUAACACAAAAUAGAUCAAAAACCGCGCAAAACAUAUUGUACUAGUACCAUUGGAACUCUGCAAAAGAAAGUUAAUUACUUAAGUAAUUAUCCAUAACUAAAAACGCAUAAUUUAAAUAAAAAAAACAAGCAGCUAUGAUCUUGAAAGGGAUGGGGGAAUACUCGCAAAAGAACCCUAAUUUGGAUACUCACAUAAGUAAUGACGAUGCCAAAGCAGAAAUUAGUGAAAACCAAGAAUGUUAUGGCCAAACGUAAUUGAACUGUAUAUUGACUUAGAGAAAUACAAAUAAAUUUUAAAAUUAUCAGUCGCUCAAUCCAGAAAAUUGCAGUGAAGGCUAUGUCAUCAAGUUUCGUGUCUUCUUCUCCUCUCUUAACAAUAUUGGCCAUUGUUUGUUUGCUUAGCGGAAAAGUAGCAAUACGAAAAAUAUGAUUAGGGUUUUAUGGUUUAUACAUAGGCUAUUAUAUUUUUCCUAUAUAUAGGGUAAUUUUUACAUAAUUUGUUAUGGUUUAGGAUUGGCUGAGAAUCAAAUCGGUACGUGAAUGGAUAAAGAGUUUAUUUUUUUAAAAAAUAGCAAUUAAUCUCAAUUAAUAAUUAAUAAUUAAUAAUUUUCAAACAAAACUGCAAUAGCUAAUAGCAAUGUUCUGUUCUUAUAGGGAAAGUAAUUUAGAUGGGUAUAGGAUGUAGAAUGAAUUUGGUGCUUGGAGGAUUUAUAGAAUCCAUUAAAGACUGAGUCCGUAUAGGUCAAAAUCUUAAUUCUUAAUUCGAAGAAAAAGAAUGGGGUGAUUACAGUGUGAAUUUAGACUUAAAAUUUUUAUGGAAAUCUUUCAUUCCUGCUGCUAAAGAAUAUAAAAAUAUUAGAGAAAUAGAAAAUAUAUAGAAUAAGAAAACAAAGAUAAUAAUUAGUCUGCCUAUGUAGUCUACAAGAAAGAAAAGAGGAGAACUUUGGUUUCCUUGGGUCACUGGCCAUCUGCCGGGAGUUUCGGAUUUAUGGCUUGGGUUAGCAAUGGGACACUCUAAUUGGUUUAAUUUAAAGUUUAUCAAGUGGUUUGGUUUGCGGACCAAUCAUUUCUCUCCACUCUCUUUGAAUUGAAUGUUACACUAUAAGUAAAAUAAUGUCACAAUAUCAGAAGCAAUAUAUUCCUAAGAAUAUAUUCUUUGACGAGAUUCCCACUGAAAGGUUCAAUUGUUACAUUAUAAGUUUAACAAUUUAUAGGUGAGAUUGUCACGCCACAGUUAACAAACAAAAUAUUAUUGUUAUUGUUACACUAUAAUUACAACUAUAGUGUUGCAACCUACAAAUAUAAAAUAUGUACUGUGUCAUUGUUAGUGUAAUAAUAUAUUUUGUUUACACCUCAACAAUUUGAUGCCAUGAAAGAGAUGUUUGUGGGGAAGAAAAAUAUUCUUGUAUUAGGCAUAAGAGGUAUAAGAACUAUAAAUUAUUAAAUGAAAAAAAAAUGUGUAAGAAGUGUAAAAGAGUAAAUUAUUAAAAGAAAGAAAUUUCUUUGUAAGUGCAAGAGAAUAUUUACUAUUCCACUAUUCUAAUCCGUGAAGCUUGGUAAAUUGUAAGUGUAUAUAAAGGAAAGAACAUUGCUUCUCCCAUUUAUCUACAUGAGGAGUGCUUUUCCCUUAGUCUCCCCUUCUUGCUUUGGUAAGGUUUAAUUUUUUUUUUUUUUGUUAAUAUAUUUUGUUACAUAUUUGUUAAUAUAUUAUGUUCAGAUAUGAAUAUGAGUGUUAUAAUAUACUUGUAAACUUAAAGAAUAUAUUCUUUCUGACACUGUGACAUUGUUUUAAUUAUAGUGCAACAUUCAACAAAAAGAGAGUAAAGAGAAUAUUGUUCUAUAAAACUGCUGGACAACAUUAAUAUAAAUUAAAAUUGAUUAUUUUUAUUGCAGUCAUAGUGUAAUAAUGCAUUUGUUAAAUUAUGACUAGAAUAAAAGCCUUUGAAAUGUCAACAAAACAUUGUUAUGAUAAAUAUCAAUAGUUCAUAAUAUAAAUUUAUGGAAAUUUAAACAUCUAAUUUCUACAAUUAAUGAGUUAAAGAUAGCAUAAUAAAAUUAUUUGAGAAAAAAAUUAAAUAAAAUCAAAAUUACCUUGUUUAUGCUCAAUAUUGAAUCACCUCUAUUUAUCUUCAAGACAAGCAACCGUAUCUUCUAUUAUCAACUUGCUGUAUAAAGUGGUUAGAAAUCAAAAGACACAUUAUAGUACUUACCCUUUCAUAAACUAAUGUGGUUAUGGAUUUAUAGCUAUUAAGGAAAAUAAAUUGGGCACGCUUCGCAUUUCAGUGACCUAGCAGCCAAAUUAUGUUAUGCUGUUUAACCUAGCUUUUUAACUACUGAUGGAAGAGCAUUUAGCAUCUCAAAGGGACCUAUAAAAUGCUAUCAUUGAAGUACGAGAAAAUAUCGGUCAAUUAGAGGUUACAAAGCUGACCCAACUGUAGGGUAGAGCAAACCGUUUGUUAAGUUCAAACCGAAAUCACAAAAUAUAAACCGAAGUUUCUUUAUAAUAAAUCAAACUGGAAAGAAUUUUUGUAAUGAAUCGAAUCAAUCGAACUGAAUCAAUCGGUUUGGUCUAUUUUUAUCGUUUUCACCGUUUCAGUUUUGUUCUAAAUCCAAUCACUGAAUAUUUAUGUAACCGAAUUGAACUGAACAAUAAAUUUGAUUCAAACCGAAUAAUCUGACUGACCGAACCUCUCUUGGGCAUCAGACCGAAUAAACCGAAAUGAGUCGGUUUGAUUUUCAAUUCGGUCCUACCGAUAAUUUUGCUCGCCUCUACACAUGAAAAUAUCCUUUUAACCUAAGAAGAUUAUAAUAUAUGUUUGACCCAAGAGAACGUGGGUCGACCUCGGCCGUUCUAUCAUUAUCUAGGCAGCCUACGGUUAGUUAAGUGGGUCAAGGAGCAAAUUGAUAUUUAGAGGACAUCAAUCAAUAUGGCCCAUCUAAAUUUAUAAUUAGACUUGGGCCAAGAUUAUGGAAGGCCUCCAAAGCAAAAGGAAUAUCUAAUAUAUGGUGCCUAUCCUGAAAAUUAUUAAGAAUAUCUUACAAAUUAACUUGAUCAAAUCUUUUUUUUUUCUUUUAAGAAACUUGAUCAAAUCUAAUAUUCUGAAAAUUUUCAAAUACAUUUUUUAUAUUAUUCUAUGCAUCUCUCUAUAACCUACGGGUUGUGACUCAGUUGGCAAUAUAGACUGAGCAGGUGGGAAGAGUUCGGGUUCGAUCCUCACUAAAUGCACUUGCAAUAGAAAUGUGAGAAACCUUAAUUGUGACUAAGUUCCGAGCUGGAAAAAGACAUCCUGAUGAUGGAGUCCGAAUACCGGUAAUUUAUUUUAAGAAAAAAUGCAUCUCCUAUAUGAUAAUCCUUCAUUAAUUUGUUAGACAUAUGAUUCUAUUGCUAGGGAAACUCAUUCUACAAUAACAGUAGCAACAUGUAGAAAUAAGUGUAAGUAACGAAAGUAAUAGCUAAAAUGAAUUAAGAACUUAACACUAAAAUAUUUAAAAACUUUUCAGAAAAAAAAAUUACUGCUCCGUUUAUUUCUGUAAACUAACUUACUGAAAAAUAUUUUUGUGGAAAACAUUUUCCUUGAAAAAUAUUUCUCAAAUAACUUAUUUUCUAUUAUUUGGUUAUAAUAUUGAAAAUUAGUUAAAAAUAUUAAAGUUUUUAUCUCAUAAGAUCAUAAAAGAUAUUAAUAAUAAUAGACAUUUUAUAAUUUAAAAAUUUUAUUGUUAAAUAUGAAAAGCAUGCAAAAAAAAAAUGUAAAUUAUGAAAGUCGUCGGUGGCUGGUGGUAAAUGAUGACUGGUGGUAGUGACUACGAUGAUUAAUAAAUUAAAAAAUAUAUAAAUAUAUAAGGUUUCCCAAUGUCCGAAAAAUGUUUUACUCUCUCAAAUAUGAGAAGUUAUUUCCUUAAAAAAUGACUUAAUUUUCCAUUGAUUAGGAAAACAUUUUCCAUUUACACAUUUUCCUGAAUACUCCAAACAAUGGAAAAUUGUAAAAAAUAUUUUCUGUAAAUUAUUUUACGAAAACAAACGGACCCUAACAUGAAAAAUAAUCUAAAUUUCACAGUCCAACAUGGCCUAUUUCGUUUUCCAAAUGAGCUAACUCAUAGAUGUUUUAAGUUUAUUAACUAUUUAAUAAUCAAAUAAUAAUUUGCUAAGUGAGGCAUAAUUUUCCAAAAAUAACUUAAGAAAGAACAUGAGUUAAUAAGAACUAAGAGAUCGUACAUGUCUUAGAUUAUCUAAUAUAAUUUGGAUUAGACAGAGGCUGUAAAAGGCAGGGACGAGAAAUUAAAAAAAAAUAAAGAAAUAAACAGAAAAAAAUAAAUAAUUUGUUUCAAGUUUGGUAGUUACAUUUUAGUGAUAUUAAAAUACUUUUUAAUUUAUUUUCAUUUUUAACUCUGUCAAGUGGUUGCAUUUUUCUAAAAACAAACACAUAAAUGCGUAAACUAAUUUAAUUUAGUGGUUAAAAUGCAUUUACUUACUUAAUCCUGGUGAUUGUAGAAUUGAGCCAUAGAAUUAAACAUUUUAAGACUCUAAACAAAAGAACAGGAGUGAGAGGAUAUCUUUAGUAGUAAAAAUAAACAAACAUAUACAGAAUAUAAAGAAUUUUAGCGGAAAAAAAAGAUCCAUAGACCCUUUUUAAUAUGUAGAUUGGUACUGUUAAUAAUUUUAUGAUGUUUGAUCAUAUGAAAUGAGAAAACAACAAUCACGUAUUAUUUUGUUACUUAGAUAAUAAACGAAUGGUUUUUGCUUGUGAAACAUCGUAACAUUAUAAUAGAAGAAUGCCUUAGGUUUCAUGCCGUAUGACAUACAUAGAAUAUUCACCGAGAAGUUCGCAAUUAAAAGAGAUAAUUUAUAUGAAUAAUAAUUAUAUAAUAAAUAUAAGUGACAAGAAUUCCUUACAAAAAGAUAAUAAACUGUUAAAAUUAAAUUGCAAAAAUCUUCGACUAUUUUCAUUUACUGAAAUCUAUUCUUAAUAAUUUUAUUGUCAAUAUUAUCAAAUAUAUAUCUUUUAAGGGUAAAUCAUUAAAUAUACUCCAAACUUUACGUAUUGUAAUAAUUACACCUUAAAAUGAACUUAACCUCUCAGGCACCCCAAUUUAGGCAUGACCGGUUCAAAAUUUUUAAAAUGUUGAACCUGAACAAGUCCUUGAACAACCGGUUCCGACUCUGGCCGGGUCCGGUGCGGUUCCGUUGAACCGACUGUUCCGAUCAUGGUUUCCGGCGAUAUAUGUUUUUUUUUUAAAAAAAAAAAUCAGUUUUAACGUUACAUCUUUUUUUUUGAAAAUAUUAAUAUGAGUUUAAAAAAUAUUGGUAAAUUUUAUUUUAAAUAAAUUUUAGAAUACUCAUACUCAUAUAAGAAUAAAAUUAAUUAAUUUUACAAAAUAAUCAAAUAAGUUAUCACUUUAUUUUGUUCAAAUUUUAUUAAUUAAAUAAAUUAUAAGAAAAUUUUGAAAAAUGCUUCAAAAGAAUGUAAUUUUAAACUUAGUAAACAAUUUAAAAGGGUAAAAAAAAAAAAAGAGUUAAAAACAAUAUAAGUUUAGACUAAAUAUUUCUCUCUUUUUUCUACCAUUUUACUUUUUAGAUUUUUAACUUUUAAAGUAAAGUGUAUUUAAAAAAAAAAAAGAACUUAAGUAAAGUAUAUCAUGUAGUAAAAUAUUAUUGAGACUUUUAGAGAUGUAUAAAAUAGGCUAAGUGAUUAUUAUUUUGAAAAUAAAAAUAAAAAAUUUUCGGUUCAAAUCGAACUGAAACCGCCUAUUAACUGACGGUUCAGGUUUAGAUUUUAGCAUUGACAUGAACCUUAACCGGCCUUUGAACUGCCGGUUUCAGUUCAUCUACAGUACAGUUCGAUUUUGGUUCAAAAUGAAUCGGUGGCCAUUCCUACCCCAAUUGCAAACUUUUGUGAAAAUUGUACCCUAAUUUUAAUUUGGUCAAAAUUAAAUAAUAAAAUAAUAUUAUUAUGGGACCUAUAGUAACUACUUGGGUUGAAUUAACCAUGCCAUGGGUUAAGUGAAACAGAUUGUGUCACUUAAGGUUGGCUCCCUCACUCUCCUUAAUCUUUCUUUUCUUAACCACUCUUCUCCUUUACCUCACCUUUCCAACAAAACGACCAGUAACAUAGAAGAUCAAAGCACACAGCAAACUAUAAUUUUAAAUCAAACAGUAACACUAUGAACACAAAAGGGCACGAGUUAACCCUUUAGUGCUAUCAUAUAUGCUUCCCGAGCUAUUUUCUAGUCUCUCCUAAUAGUGACAACUUCGCCCUUGUCAUAUUAAAACUUCAUGGUGAGAUACUUGAUGCAUGUGGCCGCUUCCAAUUCAUAUACGGCUAGUCUUCCCAAUAUGACAUUGUAUCGAAAGUGAAUAUUUGCUACCAUGAACUCCAAUUUGAGUUUCCUUGAUGAGACUUCGGUUCUGAGCUCUAGAGUUAUGUCUAUAGAUCUAGACACUUGUACAGGUUUUCCUGCCAAGCCGACUAAAGGGGUUUGGAAAGUUUUAAGUUUCGCCUGGUCUAGUUUUAAAGCCUUGAACACUUCCAUGUUCAACAAGUUCAUUGCACUACCUCCAUCCACCAAGAUUCUUUUUACUAGAAAGUUUUCCAAAAUUCCCUCAAUUACUGGGGCAUCAUUGUGUGUGGUAUUUACAAGUUCACCGUCAGCCUCAGAGAAUGAUAUGGGCGGCCUAACACUUGGUUUUUGCUAGAGUAGAAUGGAAUAGAUUUUCCUGGCUCUCAUUUUCCUAGCUGAAUUACUGUCACCUCCCGUUGACCCACCAAAUAUGGUGUGGAUUGUGCCCAGGGUAUGACAUUCUUACACCUGCUUGUCCUUUUGUUCACUUUCUCUCCGAGCUCUCCCAACAAAUUACUUUAGUUUGCCUCUUUACACAAGGCAUUCUGUCUCUUUCUUUAAUUACCAGCAGGCUUCAAUCUCAUGGCCUACAUCGCUAUGGAACUCGCAAUACUUGCUCUUAUCUCGAUAGCUCGAGGUAUCCUCCUUUAUCUUUCUAGGAUAAUAGAACUGAAUUUGAUCGCAUUGUUCUCUUACCUGGGCCAAUAUUUCUGAAUGCAGUCUAUUCAAAUGGGUAAACUCCCGAUCUUGUUGUGGUUUGCCAUCUCUUGAGUAUCAUGUUCGAAUAGAGUAACUGGUUUGUGGGAACCAGAUGGACGACCUCCUUCGGGGCGAUCGUCUCCUUACCGGGGAUGGGUGUCUUUUGUGUCUAUACCUCUCUUCUUUGGGCGAUCUAUGCUGUUGUGCCUCAUAGACUUCAUCUAGUUUUGUGUAUUUGUGAGCUCGUGUCAUGAGUUUGGUGAAUGUUAAGGGAGGGUCUAUACUUAAACUCUCAAAUAACUUGUUGUACCUGCAAUUCUUUGCCUUGUCGCUAAUGGCCACCUUAUCAUUCAAGUUCUCCAUUUGUAUCGCCAUUCUUUAAAAUUUGGAUACGUAUUACCUUAGGGUCUCCCCCUCUUCUCUUUUUAAACUACAAAAGUUUGACAAUAUUUUUCUGGAUGGUACACAUGUUAUGAAACGAGCUCGAAAUGCUGUGGCUAACUGGGAGAAGUAAUGAACGGAUCAUGUUUUGAGUGCUUGAUACCACUCUUGAGCUGCUCCUUUCAGGGUAAUUGGGAAGACUUUGCAUAUUAGAUCCUCCAAGUUUAUUUGAAGGUUCGGAAGAUCGCCAGAUGGCUUUGGGGAUCGGUAGAUCCAUCAUAUGCUUGGAAAGUAAGAAGUUUGAACUUCAAUGGGAAGGCUACAACCAAAAUAUCAGCUGACAAGAGCGAGUCUUGUCGGAGACCAUAAUCCCCUGUUUCUUCUGUGUCUCUACACUCUCGAACUAAUUCUUUGACAACAUUCCGGAGAUUAGCUCCGUCCAAGAUUGGCUGAGUGUGACUUAGCUCUUAGUUGUUGAGGUUAGUCACACUAGGGUCUACUUCAGAUUCUGCCUCAUAGUAUCGAUCAAACAUUGAAUGACUUUAGUAUAUAGGCGAGGUUGGAGGGAGGCUAUGUUCUAGGUGGGGAGGGUUCACCAGCUUGGUGGGUGGUACUAGCUCGCUGCUUGGCUUAGGGUUCUUCAAGAGGCGUUUGGUGGUGAACUGUGAAUAAGCAUGAGCUAGAGCAACUGCUACCUGAAGAUCAGUGGUCAUUGGAGAGGUGAAUGUGGGUUGUUGGUUGAUCCCACCAUAGGUGUUGUCUUGGCCUUUCAUGUUGAGGCAUUCACUGUACUCGUUAGCCAUAGGAACCGAGAAAAACUAUAGGGAUUUUUUUUUAGAGUUUGAAUGUAUAUUCCACCGAUUCCACGGUCAGACUUUAAGGUGUAGUAAAUUGUGAAACCUUUCUUAGAGUAAAUUUGGAGUAUAUAUACACUAGGUCCAGGACAAUUGUAUUAGGAUAAGAAUUACGAAUCCUAUAUUAUCCAUUAAUUAGAAUUUAUUUGAAAAUGUAGUAUUAUUAUUUUAAUAUAUUUUAUUAUUGUAUGUUAAUAGAAACAAUGAAAGGAAAAAAAAAAAAAAAAGGAGACAAUGCUGUCAAUAAUCGCUCAACCAUACCUUUUAAAUCUCCACGCGGAUACCAGAAAAAAUGGGCUUAUCAUGCUAGUAAAUAAACAAAUAUCCAUUUUCUUAUUUGAUUUUGUACCCAUAACUCAAUCAUAAUGCUAUUGUUUCGAAAGAGAAUGCAUAGAAAAAGGAGUGCAAGGGAAUCAAAUCUUAAGGAAGCAGACCUGAUAUUCGAGAAGAGGAGAUUUGGAGAGAUGGAGAUUGAGAAGAAGAGGAAUAGUCUUUGUCUUAUCAAAAGGGUAUUUAAGUCUUUCACUCAGCAUUUAACGGUAAAAAUUGCUAAAAUUAAACUGAAGGACCAUUUAAUGAGACAGAACCAAAAGAAAAACAUGAGGAUGAGUUAAUUAAUUUUGUAAAAUCUCAGGAACGAAAUAAUUAUUUUUCCUUAAUUAACUUAUUAAAUACUACAAGUAAGUCAAAUUCUAUAAUUCAAAAAUAAUUCAUUAAACUCUGUAUAUUAUAAUGCAUCGAGAGAAAUUAAUAGUUAUUAAAUCAAGAAUUAAUAGACUAUGAAAGCCAAUAAUUAAAAAAGAAACGAAAUUACAAAGUUAAAUAGGAUUUUAAUUUUUUUAAAAAAAUAAUUAUUCAAAUAUUUUCCGUUUAUAAUUUCAAGGGGCCAUUUGCCUCUUGCCCAAAUGUGGCUCCGUUCAUGCUUAUUUUGUUAAAAUAAAAGUAGUUACACUGCUAUGGCGUUAGCAACAAUAGCUUUGAUAAUAAUCUUAUCCCUUUUUUAUAAUUUUAUAAAAAGAAUCAACGUCCUUCAAUUGAUUGAAAUAAGAAUAUAGUUUUAAAUUAGAAUCCAGAAACAAUGUAACUUUUAUUACCUAUCAAGAUUCCAUUUGUUUCUCAAAAAUAAUUUGUUUGAAAAUUAAUUUUUAAACUUUUAAUGAUUUGGUUACUUAAAUAAUUAAUUAAUGAAAUAUAUAUUCUUAAUUAAAUGAAAAACUCUUUUAAGAAAAAUAACUUAUUAUUUUUAAAAGAUAAAAAUAUUUUUUUAUGUUAACAAAUUUAUUAUAAUCUUAUAAAAACACAUUUAUUAAUUCAUUAAUUAUGAAUAUUCACCAUCACUAGUCACAGGCAAUUACUGGAUAUUAAUAAUUAAACUUUUUAUGCAUUUUUCUCAUAUUUAAUUCUAAAUAUUUAAAAUACCUAAUUUGUGCAAUUAUAAAUAUUUUAGAUUCUUAUAAAUUAAAAUUUUUAAUAUUUUUUAUUAGUUUUUAAUUCUACAACCAAUUAACAGAAAAUGAGUUAGUAAGAUAUUAAAUAUUCUUCAAGAAAUAUAUUUUACUUUGAAACAUAUUUUCAAAAAUAAAUUAUUUUCUAGCAACAUGCGGCUGUAAAAUUUUUAAUUUGAAAAGGAAACAGUAAUGGAAAUUAAAAACCACCCUUAGAGAAACCCAUGAGCUGCAUCAAGCAUGCAAUAAGCAUGGAAUAAAUGUCAAAUCCCACCGUCCAUAACAAAUCCACUAAAAUGACAUCCAAACCCAUCAUCGUACAAAAUGAAAUAUAAUAUAAAAACAUAAUAUUCCAUCCCCUAAUUAACAUCAUCAUAUUAUGUACGUACCAAUGACCAUACGAUACGAUUUAGAAUUUCGCAUCUAAUAUUACACGGUCCAAACCGCCCCAAUUCAUUAAUUUUAUUUAAUAAAUUUAAAAUAGAUGAGUGGAUUAAGACUGCGUUGAUAUUAGGUUUGAUUUUAUAAGAUCAACCAAAUCCCGAUUUAAAUUUAUUAAAAAUUUAAAAGAAAGAAGAAGAAAUCGAUUGGAUUUGAGACUCUCUAUGAACCUGUUUUGAUGACGUAGUUUGUUUACUUUUUGAUUAUAUUUGAUUCUUUGUGUAUAUACGACGUCACAUUAAUGGCACGAUGAAUGCAUGUUUCCUUUUCAUGCAUUUUGUUUGGACGUGUUUGGUUCAUUCAAUUCUUUGUUUUAGUUCAAUAAACCGGUGGUUUUUGGACUCUUGACGCUUUUAAAUCCGUCCUCGUAUUCGGAGCUUGCUGGUUUUGUUCUCAUUUCCAGUUACGACGCAAUUCUAAAAAUGCUCAGUUCCGGCCAGUCGUUGAAUCUUUUUCAGUCUUUCUUUUACUGGAAUCGAUCAGCCUAUUGAAUUGAUAAUCUUGAUAUAAUUUAAGUCAAGUCCAAUACCUUGAUUUCGAUAUUUUCAGAAUCAGAACUCUCAAAUUGAUUUUGAUCCAACUUACUAAAUUGAUUCUCAUACUAACCCGACCUGUGGCUAGUGUUAAUUUUGUUACUAAAAUAUAUAUAUAUAUAUAGCUUAUUGUUUAAAAAGAAAAAAGACUUAAUUUAAUAUAGGAGUUUUUUUUUUUUUCUAAAUUGAAAUCAAAUAAUCCUAAUUUUUUAGUUUCCUUUGUUUGGAUGGAUGAAAUGUGAUUCACGGAUUUGAAUGAUAUUUUUGCAAUGGAAUUAAGUUGUCUAAAUUCCAUCAUUAAUUAAAAAAAUAUGGUCUUAGAGAAAUUUUACCUAUUAAGGGGUUUUUUUUUUUCCUUCUAAAAUUGUAGAACUGAGGUUAUGAUUGGUAAAUUUCAUGAAUAUUUUUUCUCAACAAACAAAAGAAUUUGUUAAAUCUGUAAUAUUUAAAUUGUAUCAUUCAAAUUUUACUAAUCAAAGCAAUUUCAAAGUGCAUUUCUUAUAAUAAUAACUUCAACAAAUACCCGUGAUAACUUGGUCUAAUAGUUAAAGCACACUAGAUCUCACUAUGAUGAUCGCAUGGUCGAAUUGUGAAGUUGGCAUAUUAAAAAGGUCUUUUAAACAUAAUUGCUCUUCGGCGCAUAAGAAAGUAGUCUCUCGUCUAAUAUUAUAACGCCUUCUAUACUUACUAUGAUUACUUGCCUUUUUUUCAAAAAAAAAAAAAAAUUAUAUACACAUAUUGUUUUUAAAUAUAAUAUUAUGGCAAGGGAUUGAAUUACAUGGGGAAAAAAAAGUAGAAGAUUUAUAGGAUAAACAAUAUAAUAUUUACAGUUGCGCAUCCAAAAUUACACGGUCCAAACCGCCCCAUUCAUUAAUUUUAUUUAAUGAAAUUAAAAUAGAUAAGUAUAUUAAGACUCAAGAGAGUUAAAAAAAGAAAAGUUAAAAAAUGAUAAUAUAAAAAAAAGGCAAGUUAAGAGUUUGCCUUAAUAAUAAAAUGAAAAGUAAAAAUAUUACAGCGGUUUAUGAGCUGGCUUUAUUUAUAAUGAUAAGUAUGAUAUAUUAUCUCUGUUUUUAGUAAUGUAAUAUGAUAUGUUAUCUAAACGCAUGGAUAUGUUAUCUAAAUGCAUGCAUGUAAUUAUAUAUGUUAUUUUAUGAUGUGCUUAAUUUUUCUCGUGUUAUAGUCGUUCAUGUAAUUUUUUAUUUAUAUAAUAUUAAAAUAUUUUUAAUAGUGAUUAAUUUAUAUUGCAUUUUAUAUAUAUAAUAAUUUUUUUUGUUACAUGUCUUUCAAUGUAACAUUUAAUUAAAAAGAACCACUCAAAAAAAUAUUUAAUUAAAAAGAAAAUGAUACUUAUAUUAUAUUUUUAAAAUAACACUUUUUAUUUGUAUUCUCUUUGAGCUAUUGAUUCACUACAACGUGGAAAACAUCUGUUAAUUAGGUAAACUGAGUUGAUAUUAGGUUUGAUUUUGUAAGAUCAACCGAACCCCAAUUUAAACUUAUUAUAAGAAAGAAGAAGAAAUAGGAUUGGAGUUGAGAGUCCUUAAUAUGAACCUGUUUUGAUGACGUAGUUUAUUUACUUUUUGGUCGUAGUUGAUUCUUUUUGUGUACGUACAUAUACGCCAACGUCACGUCAAUAGCACGCAGAAUGCAUGUUUCCUUUUCAUGUAGUUUGUUUGGACGUGUUUGGUUCAUUCAAUUCGUUGUUUUAGUUCAAUAAACAGGUGCUUUUGGAUUGCUGAGGUUUUUAAUAAAUCCGGGUCGAACACCUUGAUUUCAGUAUUUUCAGAAUCAGAACUCCCCGAAUUGAUUUUUCUAAAUAUAGCAGUAAUAUAUUUUUCUAAAUUGAAAUCAAAGAAACCUAAUUUUUUAGUCUCUUUCAUCAAAUUGAAAAAACAAGCACUUAUUUUAAUUAAUAAAAUUUGAAAUCCAUGGAUUUGAAUGUUAUUUUUCAAUAGAAUUAAAUGGUUUAAAUUCAAUCAUUAACGACCAACAAAGUAUUGGUUAAGGUGGUAAGCAAUCUCGAUGUCCAUAAAGGUGUCAGAUUGUGACAUCCUUUUGUUCAAUUUCUACAUAUUUUCCAUGAAAUACUUUAUGAAUGAUGAAAAUCUAAUAAUAUAACGGAAGCAAAAUAUGGAGAUAUAUUAAUAUAUUUAAAAAAAAAAAACAGAAACAGACCAGUUGUAUUUCAUAAACCGCAAAGAUGGUGUUAUAAUUCUUCCAUUUGAGUUUUGGCUUCUCGAGGGCAAAGGCAUAUACAAAUUGUGAAAAGCUCUUGAUAGUGAAUGAGAGCUGGACGACACUAACCUAAAAUAUAGUUAUAUUAGCGGUGGUGUGAUAGUUUCACAGCACCUAAAACUAUGUUACUACCAACUAAAACGUCACGCUCUUCUUCCAAAUAUGCACCAACUUCAAAAAAUUUAUGAUAAAAACAAAGUUUAAACAACAUUCCUUUGAGCAUUUAUAAUUUAUACUUUUAUUUGGGUUAAUUAGGUAAUAUAUAUCUAUCCUUCCGAUGUCAUUAAUUAAAAUUAUUUAUACCGUUACUAACUUGGUGAAUUCGAGUGUAAUCUGAUUUAUUUUCUUCUUUUCUGUCAGAAUGUGAGAGAUUUUUUUAAAUCGAGAAUUUAAUGAGUCAAAGAGAGACCUAUUUAUUUUGGUUCAUUAAUUCUUAUAAUGAAUAAAAAAAAUAUACCCUCGAACAUGAUAAUCACACCAACGAUUAUAUGAAAAGAAAAAAUAAAUCUUUUUAAGUGAAUUCAAUGAAUACAUUUUGAUCAACAUGCUAAAAUAUAAAUAUCAAUAUUCUAACUUGUAAUGCCCUAGAUUUUUUUUAUUAUCUAAAAUAAAUAAUGCAAGUGACUAAAAUGGUUAUUCAAAUUGAUAAAAUUCUACUUAUUUUAAUUUGAGUUCAUGAAUAUAAUGCUUUUACUAUAAUGUAGAAUAAAAGAUUUCUGUAUUGAUACAGAACUCAAAUAAUAUGACACUUGUGCAUAAUAUAUAUAUAUAUAUAUAUAUAUAUAUAUAUAUAUAUAUAUAUAUAUUCUAUACCUGACGAGAUUGAAUUAAACGGAAAAAUUAAAAGAUUUAUAGAAUAAAAAAAAAAAAAAUUUACUGUAAGCUUUAAUUACAAAUGACUGAAAAAUAUUAAAAUUUAUAAAUUAAAUAAUAAAGAUAAAUCUUAUUAACAUAAAUUUAAUUUUCAAAAUUAUCUAAUUCUACUCAUUUAGAAAUAUUAACUCAAUUAAAAAUAAGUGAUCAACUUAAAUAACUCCUUGAAUUAUGGUUCAGCAAAUUAUAUUUACAUUAAUAAUCUCAAUUAUUAAUAUCUUUUUUGAUAUUAAUAUCAGAAGUUCAAAUUAUGAGUGUUUCAAGUAAUUGCAUUUAUAUUAUCGUUCUAAUUUAAAUUAUUCUUAUUUAUAAGAAGUUCUUAAUCUUAAUUAGUGCUAUAUUGUUUGAGAAAAGCGGGAUUCGAACCUGAAUCUAUUGUCGGAUCAUAUAUACACUUGCCAUUAGAAUAUGCUUUAGUGUGUAUGAUUAUAUUUCUAUAAUAUACUAUAAUAUAGAAACCAUAAUGUCUUGAAGUAACCAUAAUGUCUCUUGAUUGAAAAUUUUCCACCUGCAACUGGAAGAUGCUAGUAAAGAAUCUAUGCCUUCAUGUGUAAACUUGGCCGUUGAGACCUUUAUGUAAAAAGAAAGACUAGUGACAUUUUGACCGUAAUUUUUAAGGAUUAAACCUAUAAAAAUAUCCUCAAUGUAACAUCCCUUCCCGGUCCACCCAUUAACCCUAAUGAACCGAGCCGAGACGCUACAAUUUGGUUGAACCUAUGUCCUGUCAUGCUGAUAUCAUCCUGUAUGCUAAAUAUUAUGUCAUGUUUAACAUCACUCCCAAUUAAACUCCAAACUUCCAACAUCUCCAAAUAAUCAUCAUAACACAAUAACACUAUUAUAUUUUCAUAACUGUAUAAAUCCUCAAUAGUAUUGAAUAUCCAUCAAAUAAUUGCAUUCAUGACAUAUAUCAAGUCUUAAUGAACUAUUUAAAAUAUUUCAUAUUCAAUCAUUUAAUAAGUAUUAUUCUUCUCUCCAAAUACUUACGCCAAAAUAAUUACAUGCUUCAAUUAUAUUUCCAAUAACAUAAUCUCUACAAAUGUAAUAAUUAUACAUGCUAUAAUUCUUAAUUAUAUAAAUCUCAAUCUCCUACUACCAAAGUAGUCACUUCUGCUUUGAUAUUACUCUUCACAUCUUCAAGUAGCAACCACAAUCUUCAACCUACGCGUAAUAAAAAUCGACGCGCUGAGUAUAAAACUCAGUGGUGCUCAUAAUUCACAUACUUACCAAAGUUGCGAUGGCAACUUACUUAAAAUACAAAUUUCAUAAAAUCAUUGAUAAUCAUAGAAUCAUUAAAUUUCAACAUAAAUUUACAUCUAUAGCAAAGAAAUAUCAAAUAAUCAUAUAAUUAAUAACAUACAUAAUUUAGUUCUAAUUAUACCAGAAAUCCUUUACAUAACCAUUUAAUCACACAUAGCAUUAUAUUUUCAUGAUCUUACCUUAUGUUCCUUAUGCUGUAUGAAUUAAAGAAAUAAACAUGUAAGCCCUAUGCUGUAUGAAUUAAAUAAAUAAAUAUGUAAGCACACAUAACAUUAUUAUGACUUAUGUAAUUUUUAGUCAACAUCGUAUAAGUUAUAAAUAAUAAAAUCUCAUAACUGUAUGGCUCCAUAAGGUUAUAGUGAAACCUAAGUGAUAAGAAGAACUGUAUGAAACUGGAUGAAUACUGUAUGGCUGGGCUGCUAUGGCCCAUAUAUAAUCAUAUCCACUCAACGGCCUGUAGCCGGAGUAACAAACUGUAUGGGGCGCAGAUAUGCUAUUCUAUGUCGCGAUAUAGCCUUAUCUACAUGGUUUCUACUUAACCUCAAUGGAGCAUAUUAUCUGUAUGUCAUUAAUACAAUCAACAUAUUAACUUAUUCAUGAAAUGCAUAAACCAUACUGUUUAUCUGUAUGCUGUCUCAUUAUGUAUGUUGCUAACCUGUUUCAUGCUUUCAUGCUUUAAAAAGGAUGUCCUAGACAAUUAUCAGUAAUAUCUAAUGAGUAAUAAUGCAAACAAUUAAUCACUUGUAAAGGAACUUGCAUGGAAAUAAUUUGACUGUUGCACCCGCGACACAACUCUUACUAAUCUUUAUGUAACUUAAUUUAUACCAAUCAAAUUAACAAAAUUCUUGAUUUUAAUAUAAGUUAACUCAGAAGGUUAAAUUCAGUAAAUAUCUUAGGCUGAAUGAAUCUACAUAUGCAUCCCAACAUCAUGUCUAAUGUAGCCUUGAAAUCUGCUAAGGCUGCCUGUACAUGUUUUACAAAUACUAGCAUAACUCUGUCUUCAUAAGUCCAAUUUAGGUAAUUCAAAAUUCUAUGGUGAGCUAACACAUUAGGGUACAAAUAUGUCUUCUAGCAUAUCUCUUAAUUAUGUUAGUAACGUAGUCAAAUAUUGAGCUAAAGUAACAACUUCCAGUCUGCCCAGCUUUUGGUUUCCAGCCUGCACAGUUUAUACCAUUUUGGACAUAUCUUUUAAUUUAUAAGUCCAAUUUAGAUGAUUUCCAAGCUUAUGGAUAGCUAAAACAUAAAGGAACAAAUAACUCUUAUACCACUUCCUAAUUCCAUCGUUUUCGUUUCUCAAACCUAUGAUUCAAGACAUAGAAAAUAUUCAGCAUUAAAUAAACUUUGACCUUUGCUGAGUGUUUAAGACAUAUAAAUUGAGUUAUAGGGCUUUAAAUUAAAUGAAAUUAGAUUAAUUAGAAAGCUAAGACAAAUUUAUACAAAUUUUAUAAAGGGAUCACAACCCAGAUCAAUGUGUAAGAUGGUGAACAAAGACUAGGAACACAGACCAACAGUCUAGACCUGAUUCAGCAGAACCAAGUCAACUGUUUGUUGUAUUUCUACUUAUCCAAACACUAAAACUAAACCAAUCCAAAACCAGAGAAGUCUAAAGACAUAGGGUAACAACUCUCAUGAAGACCUUAGAACAUAUUCUUGCCAUUAUAGUUGUCAAAAUGGGCACUCAAGUCAGUGAUGCAUGUGGCCCGUCAUAACAGAGUCAGUUUGGGUGUUUUAGCCAUAAGUGGAGCUAUAUAUAUCCAAAUUGAACAUAAGAGGAUGGGUUGGAAAGCUAAGAAGUAGACCUACAACUUUCAUGAAGAACUCAGAUACAACUGGAAAAUAAAAAGGAUCGAUACAUAGUCUUUAAUGCCACCUAAUAACACUUUUUCCCAAUUUCAGCUUACUUAAAUCAUAUACAAGGUAAAGAUUUCUUCCACAUACUAAAUACUCAUCAAAUAUCAUCUUAAGAGCAUAAAUCAACAAAGGAUAACAAGAAAACUUAAGGCCUUAUUCAUCAAUAGGUUCUGCCGCUCUUGGAAGAUGAAGAAGAAAAUGUUUUCCUCAUCAAUUCAACAUAUAGGCAUGCUUAGAAAUCUCUCAAGAACACAUUUAUACCACCAAAAUUGAAUAAUCAAAUCAUUUCAUAUAAAAUUCCCAAUUUUCACAAAAUAGUAUCAACUUCACAAAAUUAAAAAUUUAAACAAGGUAAGAGUGUUUAUGAACACUUACCUCAAAAUCAAGCUUGGAACACCCCAAAAGUCACCAAAUCAAACUUGAGUCUUGCAUUUAGCCACCUUAGAUAGCUCACCUUUUAAUUACCCUUAAAAAUUCUGCACAUCUUUAAGCUCCAAUUCAAUAAUAACCUUGAAUCUUCAAGAGGAAGGUCUUGGUUGGAGUUCAUAUGGUCUAGUUAGAGUGAUUUUUUUGUGAGAAAUUGAAAACAAUAAGGAAGAGAAGGAGAGCAUAUGGUUCGGCCAAGGAAGAGAAGAAAGAAAGAAAUGGUUGCUCAAAUCAUUCACGUUGAAGAUAAAAAGAUGAAGAGAAAAUGGUUGCUCAAAUCAUUGAGCACAAGGGUAUUUUAGUCUUUUCUCAACAUAAUUGGAUGGCUACGAUUAAGUCAAUGGUAAUCUAAUCCAAUGGCUAAAAAUAUUCUCCAAUUUAUUUCCUUCAAAAUAUUAUUUCUCUCCACAAAAUUCUUAAAUUUAAUCCUUAAAAAUAAGUUCUCUUAUUCCCUUACUUAAUAUAACACCAUCUCUAUUUACUUCAUAAAAAUAUUGCAUCUAAGUUCCUUAAUUAAUAUAACACUAUAAUUAACUAUUCACUAAUUAUCUAACUUCUCCAAAAAUAUUCAUUACUUACUUUCUACCCAUAAAAAUAAUGUAUACAUACUCCAAAAAUAUUAAAGACAAUAUUAAACAUACAUAGUAAUUUUUUUCGGACCAAAAUAAUAUCGAUUUCCGGACUGGUGGCACUAUUCACACACUGGUAAACUUACUAUUUCAGACAAAGAAAAAUGGGGCGUUACACUCAAUUUUUCGAUUUUCUGUAUAAUCACUUUAUGUUACUUUUAUAUGCUGCGCGCAAUGACGAAGUCAGGAUUAUAAUACAAAUAAUGUAUAAUAGAUGAUUUAUCAUUUAAUAAAUUAUAUACUACACUUCUCUAUUUAAAAAAUUAUACAAAUAUUAUGAGGAAUGAAAAGUUUAAUCAAUAUAAAUAACAUCUUUUUCCUCUUCAAACAAACUCAAAAUUUAUUGAAUAACAAUUUCAUAAUAAAAGGUUCUUUCGCUCCAUAAAAAAUCAUUCUUUUGAUUUCAUAGUUAAAAACAUAUUUGGAUUGUUUAUGAAAGAAAUGAUAAGAUGAAUCUUAUUUUUAUAACAAUGUAACCAAAUUUAAACAAUUUAAAUGUUAAUAAUAUACAUUAAUUUAUUUAUAUAAUACGAUAAUAACAAAUGCAGAUUGUUCAAAUAAUAACUUGUUAACAAAAAAAAGUGCAUUUAUUAGAGGGCUUAACUCGUGUAGGAAUAAUUCCUCUUAACACCCUCUAAUAAAAUCCCACAUUUUAGGAGGAACUUCCAAAUGCCAUAUCUUUCCUAAUGAUCCCCCUGUAAACGUUCCCCCCCUCUCCCUAGCCAUUUCAACGCUACAUAGUAACUCGAUCUAACCCGAUACUCUCCCCUCCUAUCAAAGUGCCAAAUCAACUUAUCUUCUAGAUUAUUCACACCCAAAGGAAUAUUAAGAAUUGUCCUAAUGUCUCUUGCACUAAAUAACUCCACAAUUUCAUCAAAAUCCCAACCUCUCCUAUCAUUCGUUAUAAGAUCACACACUCUCAUAUCAAGUUCUAAAAAAUGAAUGACAUCCUCCACAUAAAAAGUAUCACUCUUGGGAAGUCAAGGAUCCUGUGUGACCAAAAUAUUCUCACCAUUCCCCACUCUCCACGUAACCCCUAACUUUAGCAUGUCCCUGACAAACAAGAUACUCCUCCAAGUAAAACUGAGAUUAUUCCCUAGUGAUGCAGAUAGAAAUCACCAUCCGGAAAAUAUUUAGCUUUGAGCGUACAAUAAAGAAGAGUAUUGGGUUCGGAUAAUAGUCUUCACCCUUACUUACCAAGCAUAGCAAUAUUAAAGCUAUACAAAUCUCUAAAACCCAUUCCCCCAUCCUUCUUGCUUUGACACAUCCUAUCGCAAGAAUACCAAUGGAUACCUUUAUUAUUCCCCCCUUUAGAACCCCACCAAUAAGAAUUCACAAUUUUUUGAAGAUCAUCACACAACGAUAAGGGAAGUAAGAACAUACUCAUACAAUAAGAUGGACAAGCUUGUGUGACAGACUUAAGUAAAAUCUCCCUACCUACUUUAGACAAGAGCUUAUUAGUCCAACAGUUAAUUCUACUCAAUAACUUGUCCUUUGAAAAAUUACAAAUAUGUUUCUUCCUUUUACUAAUUAGAGAAGGUAACCCCAAAUAUUUCUCCUCUCCUAAAGAAUUAUGAACUUCUAGGAUAUUGGACACAGACACUUUAACCAUACAUGAAACAUUAGGAUUAAACAUGAUCCUUGACUUCCUAAAAUUAACGGCUUGACCCGAAGCACUGUCAUAUUCAUCUAAAAUCUGCUUUACUCACCUACCCUCACUGUCUGAGGCCUUAAAAAAGAAAAACAAGUCAUCUACAAAUAAUAAAUGUGCCACCCUUGGACAUCUAACUCCAGCUCGACACCCAUGGAUCCAUCCUCUCUACUCAGCCUCCUUAAACAACGGGGAUAAACCUUCAGAACAAAUAAUAAAAAGGUAUGGUGAAAUAGGAUCUCCUUGUCUAAGACCCCUCUCUGGAAUAACAGGACCAACUACUUCCCCAUUACACAAGUAAGAGUACCACACAUUAGUCACACAUGCUGUCAUCCAAUCAAUCCAUUUGGUACUAAAACCCAAUCUACCCAUCAUAUCUUGCAGGAAAUUCCAAUUGACCCUAUCAUAGGCUUUAGUUAUAUCUAUUUUAAGAGUUGCCAUACCCGUACCUCCCCACGUUUCAUACUGUGAAGAAUUUCAAAGGCCACACCAAUAUUAUCCUGUAUUACUCUACCCAGCACAAAAGUAUAUUGGCUAUUCGAAAUAGUCAAUCUGAAGCAGAGCAAAUUUAGCAUUUAGUUUAUUGAAGAAGAAAAGGAAAAAUUAUAAAUAUUAAUCACGUGUAGAAUAGUUGUUUAAUCUAUCAAAAAGGAAAAAGAAAAACUAUUAAAAUAAAAAAUAUGUAGAAAAAAAAGAAAAAAAGAAACACUAUAAAAAUGGAUUAAAAAGAAAAUUUUAAAAUUAAUGGUAUAUAAAUUGGUCUUUUAAUUAACCAACAAGAAAAGCUAUUAAAAUAAAAAAUUAUGUAAAUAAAAUUUAAAAAGAAAAAGAAAAACUAUGAAAAAGGGAAAAGGAAAAGUAUAAAAUAACAGGGAGCAAAGAAAAAAAAUUAAUAAAAUUAUAUAUAAAUGGAAAAACAAAAAGUAUAAAAAGGGGAAAAAGCAGAAAUUGGAAAACUAAAAUAAUAAAAACCAGAAAAAAGAUCACAAUAAGUAGUUUCAAACAUUGGCUGACAAUAUAAACUCACAACAUUUUAGCCACUAUACCAAACUACACUACAUUUCCUUUCUACCACUAAAUUAUUUUAUAAAACAAUCCAGGGGCAUGGCCCCCUCCUCCCCUUCUCUCCACUCCCUCUGCUAUUGGUUGGGCAUAACUAUUUUGAAACUUAUAUAUAUUAGCACCACAAAUAUAAACAAAUAUUUAAAAUAAAAGAAAAAUGAUAUAAAACACAAGACAAGCCAAGAAUACUCUCAAGGAGAUCUCAAUUAAUAAAAAUUCAUUUUUAUUAAAUCUCAUAAAAUUAAAAAAUAUAUUGAAACAAACAAAUAAAAUUACAAUCUUGAUAUAGAUAUAGAAGAGUUUGUGAUAAAAUUAGAGGGCUUAGAGAAACUAAAUCCGUUGAUGAUGCAUAGAAGCUUCGAUGAAUAUGAAUUCAUUUAGGAUCUAUGGCAAGGUCAUGAUUCAAAGAUGGAUUGGAGAAAGAGGAAGAGAUGCCAAGGUUAAAGAGAGAGAAAGUGACUGAAUAAAUUGUGGACUUCAAAAACUGGCAUUUAAUGGUUGUGGGUUAAGCUUACCAAAGAUUAAGGCCUCGUUUGGUUCAAAUUCAUCUACUUUCCGAGGAGUUCACUUCCUAGAAAAUAAAGUUUCAAAGAAGUUACUUCUUGAAAAGUACAGUGUGAAUAUGUUUUGUUGAUAUAUUGAAUUCCCAAGAAAUAAAAUUGUGUUAAUGAAAUUUUACAUAUGAAAGGACAAUAAUACUCCUACCAUGAAUUUAAAUAUAAUAAUUGAAAUAAUUCAUUGAAAGCGCAAAAUGGAGAUUGUUAAAUUCUAAAGGUCAAGAAGUGUACUUCCUUAGGUUGAGGAGAGGAAGUAACUUCCUGUACGGACAAGAAGUUGAGCAAUUCAACUUUUCGAGAAGUUCUUUAUUUUUGGAAACCAAACAUAAUCAAAUGCAUCACUUUUCAGGAAGUUUAAGUUCCUGAUGUAACACCCUAUGCGAAUCUCACAUCGGCUAAACACAAGGUGUAAAUGAAACCCAUAAGAAUGGGCAAGUUUUAAACUAGCAAGAAGCCAUAAGGCAUGAGUUGGUUCGGCCAGAGUAAAUAGUAUCUUGCAAUGUUUAAGAUGGAUGUGAGUUGGUUUUAUCUUGGCAACUUGUAAAGAGGUUUUUUUGGCUAUUGUUGGUUGUAGCUCAAGAACAAACCCGUGCGGGCCUGAGUAAGUUCGGUCCAAAGCGGACUGUAUCUUGCUAGCUCAAACUUAUUCUAAAGCCUAGUCUUAACUCCAUAUUGGAGUGUUAAAUGCUAUAAUAUCUAAGUUUUAAAAUAGGAGUGCUUGGGAUACAUAAGUGCUAUAAUACCUAAGUUUUAAAAUGAGAGUGCUCGGGAUACAUAAGUAAAAAUAGAGUGAUUUCGCGAUAAGUUAAAAAAUUGAGAGUAUUUUGAUAGGUUUGUCCAUAUUUGAAGAUAAACUCAAAGUAGUAAUGUUUCUUUGAGAUUUUAUCAAUAUACAUUUCAUCUUUCUUCACAUUUCAAAUUUAAACAUUUUUCUCUUUAUUGUGUGGUCCAUUAAUAUUAUCAUUUUAUGGAGUAGCCAAUUCCCUUAACAAGAGGGCAACUAUUAAGGAUAGGCGAAUGAUAAGUUUCAAGAUUAUCAUUUUCCCCCCUAUCAGCAUAGAGUACUGUGUUUAUAAAGAUAAAACUUGCAUACGUCUGGUGUAUAGAUGGUCUUAUAUAUCAAACCAAUCAAAAAGUAGCAUUUUAAAAAAAUAUUACCGUUAUAUAUUUUUUUCCUGUACAUGAUCGUAAAUGGUUAAAUACUCUUAUUUUGAAUUAAAAUUCUAUAUGUGAUUAAUUUGAUGUACAAGUAAAUCUAUAUACUCGAUGUAGGUAAUUCUUUUCCGUAUUUAUAAAUUACCAUUGCAACAAUAUUUAUAGAUAAGUUUUCAUAUCCAUCAAUAUACUCACCUUUAUGUCCACCGCCUGCAUUACUCGUAUGUCAAUACAUUUUUUAAAAGAGUAGGCUUUUGCGGGGCUUCCCUUGUUAUUGAUUAAAUUUCACAUGAAAAGAAAUUAAAAAUUAAUAAAUAAUCUUUAUGUCUCACAUUAUAAAUCGUUUAAUAUUUUUACACGAAAAUUAAAAAACUAUGAGUAACUUUAUUCUAUCUAAUGUAAAUAAGAGUGAUAUUAAAAAAUUAUCAUUUAUUAUUCUUUAAAAUACUUAAAACGAUUUAUAUUUUGGGAUAUAAUGAUCACUCAAAAUGAUUUAUAUUUUGAAAUGGAGAGAGUAGUUAGUACUAGAAAUCAUUUUACCAAUCAAACCAUCAGCAUCAAACCUUUUAGUGUUUUGUUAAAUCAAAUGUAGUAAGGAAAAAAAAUAAUACGAUAACUUUAUUUGGUUCAAAUACUUGCCUUUUCUUGUUACAUUAUAUUGAAUGAACUUUAAGCAGAUAUAUGAAUAAUACAGGUAUUUGGCUUUCCAAUUCGUUGCUCUUUUCCUGAAAGAAGCCAAUUCUAAUUAAGGGUUGAUGGAAAUCCAAUUUUUUUGCCAUUUUAAAAUGAAAAAAAAAAUAAAACUAAAAAUUUUACAAAAUUUACAUAUAUUUUUAAAAUUUAUAAAUUUAUAAUUUUUGUAAAAAGUACAAUUUUAAAUUGAAAUAACAAAAUGAAAUUUAGUGGUUCUCUUUCUCUCCUGCAUGAUAAAAUGAUAUUGUUUUUUUUUUUUUUUUUUAAAAAAAAAAAAGAAAGUGAAUGCUAAAUUUAAGGCGGAACACAAAUAGAUGAUUCCAAAAGACACAAACACACUACCACUAUCUUUUCCGUGACCAAUAACAGACAGUCACGUAUUCAUGUGCCAAUCAGACGUAUGUCCUAAUCCAUCUUCUUCGCCUAUUUAAAGACAAAGGUCCUCUGUGUUCUGUGUUUAAAGAUGUCCCUUCGCUAAAUCAAAAGGCCGAGAUUUCGGCUCUAUAAAACUCGGAUAUUUCGCGACAUUUCGUUUCCUACGGUGUAAUGGCAAUGGCUGGCUAUGGGCUAUUGAAGAUCGAUGAAGGAGAGCUAAAGAGCAAUCGAAGAACAUCGCGUCUCGCUUCUCUUGAUGUCUUUCGCGGCAUCUCCAUUCUUGUGAGCUUUCUUUAGCUUUUCUUGUUUUCUUUUAAUUUAUGCCACGUUUUUGAUUGGUUGCUGAGAAAAUGCCAGAAAAUGAACCGCCGCAUGAAAAUAAUUCAAUGGAAAUUAAGCCAAAAAAAAAAAAAAAAAAGCUUCAUUUUCAGGUUUUAUUUCUCUUUGGCCUCUGUUUCCAUAUUUUUGUUAAUUUUAUGUUUUUGUUUUUUCUUUUAUUUAAAUAUUUUAAACAAACAUACAAAAAAGAACAGAGUUCAUCAUAUGAAAAAAAAAAAAAAAAUCUCAUUGAGUAUAAAUUUUUUUAAAAUAAUUUAAUAAUAUUUAUAUGAUGAGAUCCACUCCACCCUAUAUGAAAAUAAUCCACAUCAAUCUGAUCUGAAUAUGAAUUACUGGGUAUAAAAAUCAUAAAAUUUGAUUUUUAUUAUUUUUUUAUAAUAUUUUUGAAUAUAUAAUUUUUUACAAUUGUAUAAUAAUUAUAAAAACUAAAACAAUAAAUAUAUCCUAAAUUAAUUUAUUAGCGCUGUCCAACCACUUUUCAAAAUAGACUGAGUGCAGGAAUGUCCAACCGAAGCUUACCUUUCGUCCAAUCAACUUGUUAGUGGAUGAGAAAAGCAAACAUACGUUGCGUGCGUGCAUUUCGUAUAAUGCGCAAUGCAUAGCAUAAUUCGUUUGCUCUUUACGCAAUCUUUCUGACGUCAAAGUAACCUUCAGUUUUUGCAAACUGUCCGAAAAAAGCAUAGAAAUGCUCAUGGAAAAAAAUAUUUAUAUAUCUCCUUUCAAAUUGAAGACUUUUAAAAAAAUUCCAUAAAAUUUUGAUAAAUACUAUGAAUUUUAAUAUUCUCAAUCUGAAACUUUUUAUAAAAAAAAGAGAGAGAAAAAUUUGAAAUGACUUUCUGCUUUUCAAAAAUAUUCUGAUGUAUAUAAAUAUUUUGUUUUAUUAUUCAAACGAUAAUCUAUAUUUAAAUACAGCAAAUGAUUUCAGUAAAUUUAAAAUUUAAUCUAUAGAAGAACAUUUAUAAAAAAGAAAAAAAAGAAAAGUACAGGUUUUCAAAUGGCCCAACUCACACAUUAAUGGACUAAAUUUGAGAAACUGCACUUUGUACUUCAUAAUUUAUUUAUAGGCCCACCAACAGACCCCCAUACUUUAAUGCACACGUACGGUCUUAAUUGUUUCUCGGAAGUUACUUCAAUUAAUGAAUCGAAUAACAAUUCAAUAAAAUAUAAAAUAAUAUUAUUAUUAUGAAUAACAAGUCAAUAAAAAUAAGACACUUGUCAAAAGUGAUAUAUAAAUAAGAUUUAAUUAAUUCAUUAUUUCCAUCUCUAUUUCAUUUUAUUUUCAGUUUGCAUUAUUAUAUAUGAUAAGUGUCUUAUUUUUUAAAAAUUGUCGUUCCAACAUAUAAUGGUGACAUGGCAUCGGUGUUUUAUUAUAUAAUCAUUCAGAUCAUCAUCCUUAAAUUAUUUGAUCAUUUCAUAAAAAUUAUUAUUUUAUUAAUCAGUAAGUAUUAAUAAAAAGGUAAAAAUAUCCCUUAUUUUUUUAAAACAAUAUCCUUUAAAAUACUAUCUAAUCAUUCAUAUUUAAUAAUGUGAUCAUAUUAAUUUAACAAUAAAGGCAUGCGUUUUGGAUUGAGUUGUGGUUGAUUUAGUGAAUUUUUAAUUUAGGAACCAACCAAAGAAAGAGUUUAAUAAUUAAGAGAAAUUUCAAUCAUUAAAUAACAGUUCUCUAAGAAAAGUAUUCAUCUUAGUUGGUUUUUAGGAGUGUCAAAAUGGGUUUGCAGAUAGAUUUCGACAUAAACUCAUCUACCAUGCGACAUGAUUAGAAUCAACAUAAACACGAUCUGUUUAAUAAUUAUGCAAAAUUUUUAAAUAUAAACACAAAAUGCAAAUUAAAUGAAUGACACGAAUAUGACAUUUAUAAUCUGUUUAAUUAAAUAGAUCAUAUAUGAAUCCAAAAAUUCAACCAAACUUAAUUAAAUGAGUCAAAUACGGGUUAGAACAUAACACGUAUGCAUAUACAAUAUACUUAAUAUAUAUAUUAUAUAUAUUUUAAAUGGAUUAUACAUAUCGUGUUAUCACUCGUAUACGAGUGACUCAUAUAUAUAUAUAUUUGAGUCACUCGUAUACGGGUGAUAACACGAUAUGUAUAAUUCACUUAAAAUAUAUAUAAAUCACUUAUAUACAGAUCAAAACAUGACAUGUAUACAUGUAUAAUUCACUUAAUAUAUAUAUUUAUCGUAUUAUAUAUAAAUCACUAGUGUAUGCACGAAUUUAUUUGGGCUCAACUUUAUCGUGAUUAAUUUCUCUGUUAGGCAAAUCUAAUUUAUGCGUGUGAUAGCUGAUUUUAACAUCUCUACUUUUUAGAUUGCUUCAAUCAAUCAAAACCACAUAAUAUUUCCGUUUGAUUUUAUCGGAAGCAGGUUGGCAAGUGGACCCACAUAAUGUGUGGUGGUGGUCCAUAUGCUCUAAACGCUGGAUGGGACUUGGCUAUAACUGGUGUUAAUUUCUUGAUAUCUUUAAAAAAGAUUCCACGAUUGUUCUUAUACCCAGUGGCAAACAACAGUUACAUUACUCCUGCUGAACCCAAAACCUUACUACACUUCGUAUCUUACUAAAACAAAUUCUCUUUUGACCGCUUUAAAACGGACAGCACGCUCAGUACACACAGUCAAAAGGGCUACCCGCCACCCAGCCCUUUCCUUCCUUCGUCUUCUUCUCUGCAAAAGAAAAAACGCCAAACUUAUAAUAAUCAAAGCUACAAUAUUAAUCUUCCCUUAUACUUAUUCUCUUUCUUUCUUGUUUCUCAUUCUUUUCUCUCUCCUUAUAAAAUGGCUGACUUAGAAGUGCCUUUGCUGCUGCUGCAAUCGCCGCUCUCCGAUAACAAGCCCACGCGUGUUGCUUCUCUCGACGUCUUUCGCGGCCUCUGCGUCUUUGUAACUCUCCCUACUUACCUUUCGCUUUCUCGUCUUCGUUCUUCAGAUUCUCGUCCGAAUUACGUUUUACGGUUUCUUCUUCCUCAAUUUUCAACGUUUUUAUUAUUAUUAUAAGCAUUAUUUUAGUGCCUGAGCUGUUUGGUUUAAAUUUUAGGACUGUUUGGUUUAAAUUUUAGGAAAGAAAAGUUAGUUUUAACAAAAUUUCUAGCGUAACUUGUUUGUCUCAGAACCGAAAAAGUUGUUUAUGUUUGUUAUCAAUUUGGUGGCUACAGCUAAUGAUGAUUGUGGAUUAUCUGGGAUCGAUUUUUCCGAUCAUUGCUCAUUCUCCAUGGAAUGGCCUUCGCUUGGCGGAUUUUGUGAUGCCUUUCUUUCUUUUCAUAGCCGGAGUUUCUCUUGCACUUGUUUAUAAGGUAAGUAUACUACUAUAAUUAUUAUUACUUCAAAAGAAAUGCAUGUUUGCUUUAAUUAGGGAUUUUUAUAUUCUAAUUCUGUUUUAUGAAUAGAAAAUUGUUGAUUUUGACAAUUCAACGCAUUUUGUUAAUUAUCACUUCUGAUUCACUUGCUAAUUUUAUUUGGUUAAUAUUGGCUUUUAAUCUGAAAGUUCUGUUUUUAUCAGAAAGUAUCAGACAGAGUAGAUGCUACAUGGAAGGCAGUACUUAAGGCAGCAAAAUUGUUUUUCUUGGGUGUUUUUCUUCAAGGUGACACUGUCAGACAAUUGAAUUAUUGUUGUGGAUUUUAUAGCAGUAUAUAUCUAUAAUACUAUCGGGACAUACAUUUAAUUAGCAUACAUUUGUUAAAUUGUUCAUUUUUUUUCAGGUGGUUAUUUUCAUGGGAUAAAUUCAUUGGCUUAUGGUGUUGACAUCGAAAGAAUACGUUGGCUUGGCAUUCUGCAGGUACUCAAAAAUUUCUUUCUCCAUGUAUUAAUAUUUCCUUCCUCAAUACCCUUAUGCCAUGUUCGGAAAAUUAACUGUUUAUCUAUCCUAAUAGCUAUACUAAAGUAAUAUUGUUUCAUAAUACAUUCACUCAAACUCUAAGGUCAUCGAAUAGUAUUUCAAUAUUUAUUAAAACGCUAAAAGCUACAUAAAAAGUUAUCGUUGAACGGCCCUUACACCACAUGUCUAAAUUUUCACGAGUACAGAUUAAGUGAUUGUCAUUAAAGUAGGAUUAAAAGUUUCCUUCUUAAUUACAUAAACCGUAGUCCAGUGUCAUUGUUCAUUUACGUUAGUCCUAUACAUUGUUAAACUUGUUUUUGUUGUCAUUCAAGCCAGAGAAUAUCUAUUGGCUACAUUGUUGCGGCUUUAUGUGAGAUUUGGCUUUCAUCUCGACCGAUAAGAGAAAUAGGUUUCUUCAAGCCUUAUUAUUGGCAUUGGUAAGGUUUUGAUAUCUUGCAUUGGCCUUUAUAUUAUUAAACUUCAAGCAUAAUUGACAUCGUAAAAGUGUUAUGUUUAACAAUUGUAAUGUGACUUCAAUUCUUGAUUCUAUUUCACGAAAUGGCUUAAGUAACAAUACUCAUUUAUUUUCCCUCUCUCACUUGGGCCUAAUAAGCAGGAUUUUUAAUAAAUAUUUGCCUGAUUAACACACCAUUAACUCAGAUCCUUGAACAUGUAAUACAUAGAUCAACAUUCAAUUGAUAUCUUAAAAUACUAAUCAGAUGGUGAGUAUGAGCUUAAUGGAUUGAAUUGCAAUUUUUUUUUUUUUUUAAUUUUUUGGCUUUCUUUUCUCAAUUUAUUGAUGAAGCAAAAUUUUCAGGGUUUUGGCAUUUUCAUUGUGUGCAAUUUAUACGGGAUUAUUACACGGUCUCUACGUUCCAGAUUGGCAAUUUGAAAUCUCCAAUUCAACUUCUUCUGUUCUUCCAAACAAUGGCAGUUAUGUUUACUUGGUGAGAGUUUACUGAAACCUUUUUCUUUUGCUAUUAUUAUUAUUUUUUUUUUUUUUAUGCCUGUGAUUGUGUGCAUGUAUGUGAGGGUGCAUAUAGAAAUUAAAUUCAUGGAGAACAGAACCACUAGAGAAUGCUUGUCAUUAUCUAAAUUUUGUUUGCUACAAUUUUGACCAUGUUAUGAGCGCCUUGAAGCAUUUAUCUCUGGAACUAGAACUUCUAAUGUAGAUUUCUACUAGAAUUCGUCACCUUUCUAUGAAGAGCAAGUUAAUUUGCCAACACCAUAUUAUUUCAUCGUCCAAAUACUCGACUAAAACAUCAUUAGAGGAGAGAUGUGUUUUUGAAGUACAUUUUACAUACGUAAGUCAAUACAGUCAUUGCGCAUGCAUUUUCUGCUAGUAUUAUCCUUUCAAAAUGAAGUUAAAAUUUUUAUUGCUUGACGUUUGAAGUCAUGAAUUUGAAUACAUUCUUCAUAUUUUUCACAGGUGAGCUGCUCUGUAAGAGGCGAUCUUGGACCUGCUUGUAAUUCAGCUGGAAUGAUCGAUCGCUAUGUUCUUGGUAUUGAUCAUCUCUAUACAAAACCCGUCUAUAGAAAUCUGAAGGUAUUCUAUAUUGAUCUUUUUAUGGUGGUCUUUAUCCAUCCAUAUGCAAUGUAUUGAUCCCUAACAAAAAUCUCAACUUAUAGGAAUGCAAUAUGACAAAUGGCCAAGUUUCAGAGAAUUCACCUUCAUGGUGUCAUGCUCCUUAUGAUCCUGAAGGUCUAAUAAGGUAGUUGAAAUGCAUAUCAAUAAGCUACUUAUUCAAUUAAGUUGAUCAAUAGAAUCAUGAAGAGGCAAGUGACCUGUUUUUUUUCUGUUGAAUGGUAGUUGGCAAACGUUUUUUGAAGUUCAACAAGCCAAGUGGAAGAUUUAGGAGAGUCAAAGUUGAGAUAUUAUCGAAUAAUAUAUAAUAUGAAUCAAACGUACAUAGACAGAUUAUCAAAAUCGAAGUCUAGAAAGUAGGAGGAUGUCAAAAGAUGAUAAUUUUCUACUAAACAUAAUUACACAUCAAUAUGAGUCGCAUACUAUUCAGUCUUAUUUUUGACAAUUAGGUAACGCGCUAAAAUUUAUUGUGCCUACAGUUCCUUGACGGCUGCAGUUACCUGCAUUAUUGGACUUCAAUUCGGCCAUGUCCUUGCUCACGUAAAGGUGAUAUCAUAUGCAUUCUUUACUCUCCCCGUGAAUUUUCUUUUCUUAUCUUUUUCACCUGUAGUUAUUUAUGGUCACUGUCGUAUAGGAGAUUUAUAAUGAUGUGCAAAAGCAUUCUGCUUUGAGCUACAUGCUACUGCUAUUUCACGUACUAUAGAACAAUCACCAUUUUGGUAAUUGCUUGUCAAGCUUAUUGACGUUACUUGUUACACAUGCUUUUCAGGACCACAAAGGGCGGGUGGAAUGUUGGUCUUUCUUCUCAUUUUCACUUCUUCUACUUGGAUCAUCCCUCGCCUUCGUAGGUAUGCUCGUCAACAGCGCAUAACUUUUGCCUUCAAUAAGUACCUAUCGACACAUUUUUGUUAUGAAGAUAGAUAACACUUGUUGCUAUAGAAAACAUUCCAUCCUCAAAAGUAAAGCAAGGUGCUCUACUAAUAAGAACAAAUUGAUCUCCCCCAAUUUGUUCAUUUUAGCAAUCAAUUUUAGGUUCUUAGUAAAUACAUAUUGAAAGCAAAUCUUUGAUCUUCCCCUUUUGUUUUGCAGGCAUCCCCGUGAAUAAAUCUCUCUAUACAAUUAGUUAUAUGCUUAUUACUUCUGCUUUGGCAGGAAUCACAUUCUCAGUUUUGUACUUGGUGGUGAGUCAAUUCUACCUACUAUUGGAAGCAAAGCAUAAUCUUUAGCAGCUUCUUAGAUUUUCCAAGAAAUAUAUACUUGUCAGAUUUGACUUAAAAAUCUAAUUUGGUUGCUCUUGCAAAGAAGCCAACUGAAGCAUAAACCACGAGACCAUGAAAACCCUACUCUAUACUUACUGAAAAUUGAAGCAAAAGAUUAUUUUCAUCUUUCUUAACUCUGAAUCAUCACAACUUAAAAUCCCUCAAACCAAAUAUACUCCUCGUUCCUACUAUUUGACAUUUUUAUCUCUUUUUCUUACUGUUUAUAUACUGCCUGCUGUAGGUAGAUGUAUAUGGUUACAGAUGGGUGUCAUUACCGUUGGAGUGGAUGGGAAGGCAUUCCUUGAGUAUCUUUGUCCUUCUAACAUCUAACUUAAUUAUUAUUGCAAUUCAAGGAUUCUACUGGUCUAAGCCUGAAAACAACAUAGUGAGUGUUUAGAAGAUCUACUGCUUUUUAUUCACUUGCUACUAAUAUGUAAAUCCAAAGACAGCUAACACCACAUUUUUUUUCUUGUUGCCUCACUUUUUUAACAGAUUCACCAGAUUGUCGCAUCCUUCGUGCACAGAUGAUACAUAUGGUCAUUGGGUCGAAUUACAUGGUUAGAGAUUUUGAAUCUUGCUUUUAAGAUAGGGUAAAACACUGAAUUCUCUAGCCAAUCUCUCUUUUCAGACCACAUUUUAUAAUAGUGUUUUGGGAAAUCAAGGACAUAUUAUUAGUACCUAGUGAAUCUUUUUACUUUUCCCCCUCUAUAUACAAAAUGAAAGUGAUAUAUAUAAAAAUGUAUAAGCUUUAGACUAGCAAGAGCCAUUGACUGAGUACGAGGGAAAGUGAUAUUUAUAAAAAUGGGUAAGCCCUUAGACCAGCAAAGAGGUCUUUUGAGGGUGAUGGAUCAUCCAUUACCCUCGAGAACAAAACUGUGCAGACUGGAUCCAAAGCGGACAAUAUCUUGCUAGGCCUAAAAUGCCAUAUAUAAUGAGUAAAAUCACUUAACUUCUAAUAAAAUGAUUAAAUAGUUGAUGUUUUCAUACUAUAGAAACUAAAUAAUUUCUUCCAAAAAUAGAAUAACUUACGGGAUAAUGGUAAUAUUUACCCCUCUACUUACCUCUACUUACGGGAUAAUGGUAAUAUUCAGGUUUACAGAUUCAAGUGGCAGGACAAAUUCAAGCUUGAGUUAAUGUUCAAAUUAACACUCUCCUGAGGCCACUAAGAGGUUCAGCGAACACAAGGUCGCGAAGCAAUCCAAAUUCCGCAAUUGUCCAGUGUUUUUGCAUGAAAUGCGGCUCUCAGCUGUCAAGGCUUGUGCCUUGUUCUUGACAAGAGUUAUAACAUGCUCUAGACAAUAUUGUAGUCUUAUUCAAUUUUAAAUCAAUCAAGGGAAGCAAUGAAACAAUUUUAUGCAAAUUAUAUUACACUUUCCAAUUUAUGACUUGGUCUGAGGCAGAUAUUGAAUCAUGCCAAUAAAAAAAAAAUUUAAAAAAAAAAAAAAAAAAAAAAAAAAAAAAAAAAAAAAUACUGCCUGCUGUAGGUAGAUGUAUAUGGUUACAGAUGGGUGUCAUUACCGUUGGAGUGGAUGGGAAGGCAUUCCUUGAGUAUCUUUGUCCUUCUAACAUCUAACUUAAUUAUUAUUGCAAUUCAAGGAUUCUACUGGUCUAAGCCUGAAAACAACAUAGUGAGUGUUUAGAAGAUCUACUGCUUUUUAUUCACUUGCUACUAAUAUGUAAAUCCAAAGACAGCUAACACCACAUUUUUUUUCUUGUUGCCUCACUUUUUUAACAGAUUCACCAGAUUGUCGCAUCCUUCGUGCACAGAUGAUACAUAUGGUCAUUGGGUCGAAUUACAUGGUUAGAGAUUUUGAAUCUUGCUUUUAAGAUAGGGUAAAACACUGAAUUCUCUAGCCAAUCUCUCUUUUCAGACCACAUUUUAUAAUAGUGUUUUGGGAAAUCAAGGACAUAUUAUUAGUACCUAGUGAAUCUUUUUACUUUUCCCCCUCUAUAUACAAAAUGAAAGUGAUAUAUAUAAAAAUGUAUAAGCUUUAGACUAGCAAGAGCCAUUGACUGAGUACGAGGGAAAGUGAUAUUUAUAAAAAUGGGUAAGCCCUUAGACCAGCAAAGAGGUCUUUUGAGGGUGAUGGAUCAUCCAUUACCCUCGAGAACAAAACUGUGCAGACUGGAUCCAAAGCGGACAAUAUCUUGCUAGGCCUAAAAUGCCAUAUAUAAUGAGUAAAAUCACUUAACUUCUAAUAAAAUGAUUAAAUAGUUGAUGUUUUCAUACUAUAGAAACUAAAUAAUUUCUUCCAAAAAUAGAAUAACUUACGGGAUAAUGGUAAUAUUUACCCCUCUACUUACCUCUACUUACGGGAUAAUGGUAAUAUUCAGGUUUACAGAUUCAAGUGGCAGGACAAAUUCAAGCUUGAGUUAAUGUUCAAAUUAACACUCUCCUGAGGCCACUAAGAGGUUCAGCGAACACAAGGUCGCGAAGCAAUCCAAAUUCCGCAAUUGUCCAGUGUUUUUGCAUGAAAUGCGGCUCUCAGCUGUCAAGGCUUGUGCCUUGUUCUUGACAAGAGUUAUAACAUGCUCUAGACAAUAUUGUAGUCUUAUUCAAUUUUAAAUCAAUCAAGGGAAGCAAUGAAACAAUUUUAUGCAAAUUAUAUUACACUUUCCAAUUUAUGACUUGGUCUGAGGCAGAUAUUGAAUCAUGCCAAUAAAAAAAAAAUUAAAAAAAAAAAAAAAAAAAAAAAAAAAAAAAAAAAAAACACUAGAAAAGCUCUAAUAUUCGAGAAUCUCAUCGUAAAGCAAUAGUAUGAUUUACACAUUCACCCAAUACUCAGGGUUGUUAAAAUUGUGAACAUAUUUAAAUAAAUAUGAAUUUGGAUUGUAAUUAUAUCUAUUUUUAAGUGUAAUCCUUAACAUAUUUUAAAAACAAGGUGAUGUAAUUUACAUAACAUACCAGGAUCAUUAAUGUUUAAUAAUAAUUUGUUUCUCUAAUCCUCAAAUAGGACAUACCUCGGAAGCACAAGCAAUGCAAGGUACCAAAGAUGUCAAAACCAACUUGAAAUCCUGUGUGGUUUCAAAUGUUCGCAAUUCAUCAAUCAACGAGCUGCUACUUCAGUUGAUAGGAACUGCUUCCUAUCAAUAAAGAUUUAUGUUUGUUUAGAACUGAAACUCUCCUUUUCAAAUAACUCUUAACGAUAGAAAAGAUACCAACUCAAAUUUUAAGUUACCUUCGUGCAAGAAUUUCUCUGUUGAUCAAAUAAUGAGAGGCCUUAUCCAACACUGGGCAGAGACUUGACUACAAGUAACAUCAAUAGCAAUCUUGCAGUUUCCAGCUACAAAUUCAACUUGAGAUAUAAAAAGAUGCAGAUGCAUUAUAUUCUCACUUCCCAGGGAGGUCACUCCACAUCUGCCUAGCAAAGCAGCUCAUCUGUGCUAGUUGCUCACGAUUGGCUUGUAAAAUGCACCAUAUGCUACAAUCACAACAAACUUCUCUGUGCGGCUUGGGAUAGAUCAUAGUAAGUUUCUGUGUGAACGCUUCAACCUAAUAUGAAGGACAAAGAAAUCAAAAUGCAAACAUUAGAAAAUAUGCUUAAAAAACAAGUGAACAAUAGAUAUGAAGAAAACUCAAAUCCCAAGUCUCCAACGAAAUGAUUUUGUGAACUCAGACUAAACUUUCUUCAUAUCUAACAACAUAUUAGAUAUGAAGAAAGUUUAGUGAGUUGUAAUUUCCUGGCACUCUAUGUGAUUCUCCAAUCCAUUGUCUCUAGUUAACUGUGUCAUUUCGAACUAAUCCACCACUUUGUAAAGCUUGUUGAUAAAGUUCAUGCAACUUAAUUGAUGUAUUGAUCAGCAUAGCCAUUAUCGUCCCAAGCAUACUAAUUCAGGUAUUUAACCAAUCCUACCAAAGAACUAACAUAAUUGAUGAGAAACCCAAUUACGAAAAUGAUUAUGCAAUAUCAUUCAUGCAAUCUUUACUAUUUCAAUAUUGAUAACCAAUAAAUAUUCCUCCAUUUAAAUUGAAAAUUAAAUUAAAUGAUAAAAUAAGGGCAAAAUCAAGGAGUUCACAUGCAGCACUUGAUGUUGAGAUCGUGUUUUGGGGAGUUUGAGCUAAAGAUUGAUAAGGACAGAGACAAGACCUACAUACCGCCGCAUAAUCAUCAACACUAGGAGGAAUCUACCCAGCUAACUGCUGCUUCUUUCUUGAUAUUAUUCCUUUCCAUUAUUACUCUUAUUUCUGAUGCAUUUUCCCAUUGUCCCAUAUCGGCAUACAUGUUGUAUAACAAGACAUAUGGAACUGAGCUAUCUGGUUCGAGUUUCAUUAAUGCUUCAGCAGCAAUACGGGCAAUCUCUGCAUUGUUAUGGACCCUAGAAGCACCCAAUAAUGCACCCCAAACAGCCUUAUCUGGCUUAAAUGGCAUGCCAUUGAUCAAAUCCAAGGCCUCUUCAAGCUGUCCAUGCCGACCCACAAUGUCAACUAGGGAAGAGAAGUGUUCAAUCCUUGGCUCGAUGCCAUAUUCACUAACCAUGGAUUUAAAUAUCCCUCGACCUUCUUCAACCAGUCCAGCAUAAGCACAGGCAUUCAGAGCAGAAAUAAAUGUUAUAUAAGUAGGCUGCACUUUGGAAAUUCUCAUUAAUUUGAAAAGUUCCAAGGCCUCUGCAGCAUAACCAUGGGAUGCAUAUCCUCCAAUCAUUGCAUUCCAAGAAAUUACUUCUUUAUGCGGUUUCAUUUCAUCAAAAAUGGUCCAUGCCUCAAUUAUUGCCCCACAUCUUGAGUACAUCGUGAUGAGGGCAUUAUUCAAUGGCACAUCUGGGAUAACUGUCUUUCUGACCAGCUGAUGAAUCUGCAUACCCAAGUGCAGAUCCACAAUUCCAGAAGAUGCACUGAGAAGCGAAGAUAAUGUGUGUCGGUCAGGUUUCUCUCCUUCAACUUGCAUCCGAAAGAAGACCUUAAUUGCUCCUUUAUAAUCCUCCUUCUUCUCAUGCCCCGCAAUCAUGGAAUUCCACGACACCAAAUUCUUCUGGGGCAUCCUCUCAAAAAACUCAUGAGCAAGUUCCAAAUUACCUACCAGGGCAUGUCCUGAUAUCAUUGAAUUCCAUGAAAAGGAAUCAGGAUUUGGCAUUUUGCAAAAGAGGUUUGACGCCUCCUCCAUAUCUGAGACAUGAACAUAUCCACUAAUGAUGGUAUUCCAUGAAAAAGUGUCUAGUACAAUCAUUUGGUCAAAGAGUUCCCUAGCAGAAACAAUAUCUCCAGCCUUCACAUAGCACAUUAUCAUGGUAUUCCAUGACACCACAUUUCUCUCAAACCUCCCUUUACUUCCUUUUUGUUUGUCAUUAUUACUUGGCAUCUUAUCAAAAAGUUUCCGAGCUUCAUCCACCCUUCCUCUUUGACCAUAUCCCGCAAUCAAAGUAUUAUAAGCAUGCACCAACUCCUCUUUCCCACUAUUAUUAUUUCCAUAGUCAAGCAAAAUUUUUGCAGCUUCCUCAAGCUUCUCAUUAUGAAUAAGACCCGAUACAAGUGCACUCAACGAUGUUGAAUCCCUCUCUGGCAUUCUCUCAAAAAACUCAAUUGCACGCGCCACAUCACCAUUUUGCAAAAAACCAGAAACUAUAGCAUUCCAAGAAACAGCAUUUGGCUUAGGCAUUGUAUUAAAAAGCUGCAGAGCCUCCUCUAUUCUCCCAUUCCUUGCAUACCCACUAAUCAUUGUGUUCCAAGAAACGCAGUCCCUCUUUGGCAUUUUAUCAAACAAGCACCUUCCCUCCUCUAUAAACCUCUUCCCACGACAUGACACAUACCCCGAAAUCAUCAAAUUCCACGACACAACAUCCCUCUUUGGCAUUUCAUCAAAAAGCUUUCUUGCUUUAGUCAUCUCACCCUGUCUCGCAUACCCACUGAUCAUUGAGUUCCAUGAGAUGGUGUUUCUUUGCUCCAUUUUAUCAAACAAUGCCCUUGCAUCAUUAAUCUGACCUGUCUGGUUGAAACGCGUGAUUUUUUUAUUCAGGGAAAACAAGUCUCUGUCGCAAUCAUUAAAUGAACUCUUUGAUUUUGGAGCCGAUGCAAAACAGCUAGCUUCUAUGCUGAUGUAUGGCUUCCGUCUAGUCUGAAGCUUCCAUUUGCAUGAUGCGCCAAGGGCAAUUCUCAACCUGAGCAUAAUUUACAGAACAAGUUUACUGAACCUCUAAGAUUCAUUCAGCAACUGAUGAAUUAAACAAUCAAACUUUUUAUCAGAAAGUUAUUCAUUUUCUUAAUAUAUUUAGUUUUGCUCAGGUCACAUCACACGCUUGUCACACUCUUAACUUCUGAAACCAACAAAAAGAAUUAGGCGGUUUCAAAAAACGGUCAUCUAAUGGAACCUGCCAUAUUUGUCAAGCUAACUAAGAGUUUUCUUCACCUGUUCAACCUAUAAAAAUUUUUAAAACAAUUAUAAUCUACUAAAAAAAUAUUUUUUUUUUUAUAAAACUAAUAAUUGGCUAUAAAUAAAGGACAAUAUAAUUACCAAACCAGAAAUUACUAAUGCCACAGCUAGAUAUGUUAUUGACUUUUGAUUUGACAAUACUAUCUUAUAUGUAAGACGAUACUAUCCUUAUAUGUAAUAUUCUAAAUUUAUCAUUUUAUACUCUUAAAACUAUUCUUAUUAACUUCAAAUCUAUUCAUCUAUUUUUAUAUCAAUUCCAUACACAAUUUUUUCAUAUAGCCGACCCCCACUAGUUUGGACCUAAGGCUUGGUGGUGGUGGUUGUUUUUCCAUAUACAAUUUUUUCAAGAGAGAAAUAUUAACUUUGACAAACAUAUAAUAGCUAAACCUAAUACUUGUUUCAUCCUAUUAAUUAAUAAUGAAAAUUCGAAAAUCAGGACAACAAAAUUUAAAUGCAGAAAUAAAUAAAUAAAUAAAUAAAAUGAAAUUCUCAAGAAUACAUAUCAAACUAAAAAAUUUAAUUGUCUUCUUUAAUAAAAUAAUAAAAAAUGAACAUUAUUUUUCCCCAUUAAAUUUAUUCUUCUAAAUCCCUGAAAAUGUUAUUUUCCAGUUAACUCUGGUACCUGUUUAUAAAAUUAAAAAACAUUUCACAUGAACUAUAUAUUUUAGCUGCUUUUAAAAAUUUCACAUGACUAUACCAAAAUUUCCCUAAUCUCAGUUCCUUUGCAACCAAAACAUUUUUCCAUUCCUAUGGUUUGUUUAUUAACUGAACUAGCCAGUAUCUUACUGGUAGAUAAUUUGAUUUGGUAUAAUUUACUCAAAAAUCAAGUUGAAAAAAAAAAGCAGAACAUAUAUCCUCUCUUAUAAAAUGCUUACCGUGAGGAAAAUGAUAAAAUUACAGUCACGCAAAGAAGGCAAUACCAAAUAUGGAUUUUCUUUCUUUUCUUGCAUGUUCCCAAACAACUAAAGUGAUCUCUAGCCAUAUUUUCUCAGCCACCAAAAAAUUAGAAAAUAUAAUUACAGAAUUCUUAAUAUGCAAUUCGCAAAGUAAAACAAAUUAAAGAAGAGCUAAAAAAUGAAAAAGAAGGAUUGCUCACAUAGAUGUUGACAGUGAACUAAGUCGCUGCAGGACUGCACCUGCCAACAUAUUGAAUGGUGGUCAAAGACCGCUUUUGCUUCCUCCCAUUUUGAUUACUGCACAAAAAAUACCGGCAUAAAGGCUGUCAAGUAAAAGAGAUUCUCUAGAUUUCUGUCUCAGAUUCUAUAUCAAACAUGAAAAUAGAAAUUUGAGGCAAACGACAAUCAAUUUAUCUAAGAAAAGAUGAGUAAACAAAAAGUUAAAGUGAAAUGUGUCCAAUAAUGAACCUGAAUUCACAAAAUCAAAAAUAAUUGUUGCCUUCUUCCCUUCUAACUCUUCAAAAUUUCAGCUCUUUCAUUCAAAAUCUUCCCAAUCUCUUGCUAAUUCUGGAUAUUCAUGGAGUCUGGAAUCAAACGGUUAACAGAGAGGGUAGUUUCAUUUUUAUUUCAUCAAAAUUUGAUGAAAUGGAACAAAACUUGGGAUUUGGUUUGGGAAAUCACAAGGAAGUGUUGAAUUGAGAAGAAAAUAUUUAGAACUUUGAGAAGAGGACUUGGGUUGGUUUUUUGCUUAGUGACAUAAACAGGUUAGGAGGAAUGUGGCCUUUUUUUCACUCUUUUUUUGAAUGAAUUUCAAUGUUUAAGAGUAAAAGGUCAUAAAAAAAUUUAAUAAUAGUUGGACUUGUGCGGAGCUCGCCCGCAUGCAAGGUCCAACUUUAAAUAAAUAAUUAGUCAUUUAUCAGCAUAUUGUGGAUGGCAACGGGUCAGGUACACAAAAAGUGUCGUAUCCCAAUCCAAACUCACUUAAAUAUAAGGUACCUGAAUCCAUUUAAAAAAUUACCCCUGCAUUACCCAUAUUCGUCCCAAAUUGAAUUAGCAUUACCCAUUUGCAAUCCGGAUUCAUAGAAACAACCGUUUAACACAAAAUGAACAAAAUGCAUACAACACACAAUACACUAAACUGUAUAAACACUUGAUUAUUAUCGAACCCUUAUAAAAUAAAGAAAAUAGCAUGCUGUUAUUUUUACCACUCCAAUUGUCAGAAAUUGUAUGUAAUUACAUAGUUUUUACAAUUCAAAGAAACUUCAAGAAUCUACUAACUUAAUUAUAUAAUGGAGAGCAAGAAUGAAUACAUUUAAACUCCAGGUCUACGAAUAUGUGGCCUGUAAGUAUUUGGUCAAUAUAGUUUCUUGAAUCCCUGGACAAAAGAGACAGCUUAUUUGAUGAAAGUAAAAAUUAUUUAACUGCUGAAAAAGAAGAAUGCAUAAUGCAAUAAUGCAAUGUAUAGAGAAUGUAUAAUACAGUGUUGAUAUAUGGUUGUUAUUAGUUGUGUUUUCCAAUGCUUAUUUGUAGCAGUUCAUAUUAGUGAAGGUCUCACUGAUUACCUAAAUAAACCAAAUGAAAUAUAGGCAAUUUGAAUUAAUUAGUAAUCUUUAUUUCCUUGUGUAUGAGCUAAUGGAAAAUUUCUACAAAGGAGAGAGGGAGAAUAUGAAGAAUCAAUGUUAGAUUGUUGUUCCAGGAUUAGAUUUCAUUCCCAUCUGAACUUUGGCAGUCUUACAAAUCAGUUUCUAAUUUUGUGAAACUUAUGAAAAUUGUUCUGCAUGCCUACUGUAUAAAGUUUAUGCAUCUUUUGUCAGUUCAACUAAAGAAAAUAACACAUGCUGAUUUUACUUUAAAUAUUAAAUAGUAGCAUUUUUACGGAAAAGCCUUACCCUACAACCUACUGAGGAUGAUUUUGAUCAGAAGAUACAUAUUUAUUGAUCAAUCGUUUAGGUUUUUCAAUGAAAUUUUUGAAAUGCAUUUAGAAUUAAAUGCUUAACAGAAUCAUUUAGAUCUUUAGAAGUUAAGGAUUUUAAUCAACUUGCUUCAAUUUCACUCAUUUAUGUAUAAUUUUCUUGGUGUCUUUGCAAUUACAGAUACCAUCCAACACUUAAGUACAAAGAAUUCUGUACACUGGGAUGAUUCUAUUGUCAUUAAACUUGUUUUGACCGGCAUUUUAAGGAACUGAUUUUUCUAAACAAGAUUUACAAUCAGCAACAAAGAUAAAAAGAAACAAAAGAAAAGAAAUAAAAACUGCAGAAACAGGACAAGACAAAACCAGCAAAAAGAACAAAAGGAAACCAAAAACCAAAAAGAACUAAAGCGGCAAAACCAAACCAAAGAAUAAAAUAAGGCCCAAAGCAGCAGUAACAGUUUAAAAAAAAAAAAAAAAAAAAAAGAAAAAAGAAAAAAAGAGCAUAAGAAACCAAUUAACUUAGUCUAUCAUAUCAACGGCUAUUUACAUUCACAAAAUCAAACCACAUACUCAAUUUACAGUAAAGUGAAGAAAACAAAAAACGAAAUUAUUGACAGAGCUUUAACUUUAACAGUAACAAAAAUACCUUGCGAUUUGCGAGCCACAGAGCUAGUCUUGAACGAGACACAGAGCUUGUCGGCGGAGAUCGCCGCUCUUGAGGCGCGCUCGUCACUCGUCGGAUAAAAGGCAACAGGCAAAUCGAAGAUGAGAGACUAAGGCAACAAGAGAAAAAAUCAGAUCGAGGCAAAACUACUGCCUCGCGAAGAACGAAUUGAACUUUGAUUUAAAAAGUUAAUUCAAAACGACGUGGUUUGGUUAAGGCAUUUUCUGUGUCAAAACUUCGUCGUUCUGGUAGUGAAGUGUUAGUUAUUUUCUUCCUUUCUUUUUCUGGCCUAAUACAGAGAGAUAAUUAAAAUUUUAUGUAAUUCAGUUAUAAAUUUAAUUUUUAUAUCUGAUAUGCAAAAACUAAAAAUUUAAAUUUUGUGAAUUUAAUUCUAUAAUAUAAUUAAAUUAAAUUUCAUAAAAAAGUGAAAUUUUAGAAUGAAUUUCAUAAAUUUAAACAAUAUAUUUUCGCAGAUAAUAGUAGAUAAGUUCUUGAUGGGCUUAAAUCUAUGUUUCUGUAUUUUACACAACCAGCAAUUGAACAGAAAAAAAAAACAUUCGACCAUAAAAUGACAAGCAUCUAUUCCAAUCAAAAUUAUUAGUGAUCCAAGUUAUCAAAUGGGCCUCAAAUAUACACAAAGCCCAAACACAACAGAUACACACUCAUCAUCCUUAUAUUUAUUCAUCAAGUGGGCCCAAGCCAGCAGGAGGCGGUUACCAAAUGUACAAAGUUAAAUAUAUAGAGUAGAUACAACAGCUGCUAGCAUCUGCUUCUUGAAUGUUUUCACUGUAUUGAACUAUUCUACAAUACAAUUUUUGUCUCCAUUAAUACACUGUUUCAGUUUUCUCUUUCUCUGGUGAAGAAUGCUUUGAUAAUCUCAUCAGUUAGCAAACCUCAAUAAUCUUUUUUGUUGUUAAAAUUUUGAUUAACAGCCUAGCCUGAUAUGGUGGUGACAAUUCUAAAUGAAAACAUAACCAAUAAUUAAAAAAAAAAAAAAAAGAAAUAAAAAUACCUAUGCUUUUAUUGUGUUUCAGCCAUUCAUUUUGUUAAGAUUUGAUGGGAGGUUUAAAUUGAUAUAAUCUUAAAUUCAUAUAUUGAAUUGAAAAAAUUACGAAAUCAAAUCGAAGAAAAAGUAAACUUUCUUUUUAUUUGAUGCAAAUUGAAUUGCUUAGCGUGACUAAUAAACUACAGGCCCAUUUUGGCCCAUUCUCCAAAUUUUGGGCCCUCAUACUGGGCCUAAACGCACUCGUACUUUUACCCAAUUCCUCUUUGGCAAAAACCCAUAACUAUAAAUUUCCAUCUAUCUCUGGUAGGAAAAAGAUAAAAUUCCAACUAGUCCAUGAGGUUCAGCCAACUGUACAGUUUCAUCCCAAUAUUUAAAAAUAAAAGGAAUUAAGGAGUCCCAAAAUUUAAUUCCAUUAAUGAAAUAAUAUUUUUAUUUCCAUAGACCUGGUUUAGGUAGGUCUAAACCUUAUUAUAAUUAAUAUUAAUUAACCAAUAGUCAAUAAAUAUUUUUUUGAAAAAUAUAAUUCAUUAACUAUAAUAUCAAACAUUACGAAUAAUCAUAUAGAUCAGACAAUGAAUUUUACUAUCAUAAGCUAAUAGAGUUCGUUGAUCUUUUAACAAGCUAAAAUAAUUAUAUAUAUUCUUUUGAAUGAUAAUACUAAAUAUAAGAAAAUAUAAUAUUAUAUCUUUCCACUUGAAGAUGAUCUUGAUAAAAGAUAUAAAUAUUCUUAUUACCAACUAGUUUUUUAAUUGAUUUGGAUAGUAAAAUAAUAAUUACUUUGGAUCUUUUAUAUCUGAAUUGUUUUUAGCUAAAUUGUUUUUUCAAGGACUUGUAAUAUAUAACAUACACAUAUGAAUUCUCGCCAACAUACAUCAAUAGUAUCAAUAGAGGAACAAGUCGCACUAUUAGACUUCGUUGAUCAAAGAUUCACAUUUACAAAUCAAUAUCAAAAGUUUCCAACCAAAUAAAAUCAAAUAUUAUACUUUUAUUUAUAAUAAACUCUCAUACAGAAGGAACAAAAAGCUCUAAAUACGGAAACAAAAUAACAAUAAUAAAAAUCAAAACAAAUAUAUUAUAUGAUAAAUAGAUAUGAAUUUAUUAAAAUGGCUAAGAGAAUUUAAAAGAGAAAAAGAGAAGAAGUUGAAUCAAAGGAAAAAAAUAGAAUGUAGGAGAUUAUCACUAAUCAACAUCAAGCGGCCACAAACUAAAUUUUUAAACAUUUUAUAAAUUUCAAUCAAUGACUUCGUUAUUUUAGGUGUCUCGUCAUGCCGAAGAGAUAAUAAAAAAUCAAAAUUCGAAAGACUCAAGAAAGAUCAUCUUUUCACCAUUCAUAUUUAAAUAUAAUAUAUAUAACGGCAGAGCUUCUUAUGGUCGAAAGGUCGCUGGGCAAUUCUAAGAAAUUUUUUUUAAAAGAAAAAUUCUUAUGAAAUAUUAUAUUUUGGUCUUUAAAAAUAUAAAAAAAUUAUAUUUUGAUACCCUAAAAGUUUUUAAAACUUCAUUUAGCUUGUUUAAAGUAAUUGUCUUAGUUCUGUGCUGAAUAUAUAUAUAUAUAUAUAUAUAUAUAUAUAUAUAUUAAAUAUUCUAUGUAUUAUCCCUAUCACAUUUGCAUUGAUAACCAGGACAAGAAGCUUGUAGCCAAAUGUUAGAGUACUGACAACUAAUUCCCACUGUGAAAUGUUUUAUUAGCCUCUGAUCAUCAAUGAUUAAGUGGCCCACUUGUUUUAAUUUGUCCAGAACUUAUGGAAUAAUUAAUCAAGUAUUAAUAAUUAUUUUUGGAAGCGAACAUUCUAGAUAUACCUUUUUUCUCUUGUUCAGCUACUGCAACAUUUUUGUUGGAGAAUCAAGAACUUAUGGCUUAAAAUAUUCGCAUAUACUAUAUUAAGUACUCCCAUCUUCAAAAUAGUUCAUUUUCUAUUUUUACACAGAUUAAAAAAAUAAUAAUUAUUAUGAGUUUUGACAAUUCUAUUCCUAUAACUUUUCUAUCAUACCAUUUUAAAUAACAUAUGAGCAAUUAUUAUAUUUAAAUAAUAAGUAAAAAUUAAUGAGGGUUAUUGAAAAUAAGAAAAAAUUUAAUAAGGGUAUAAUAGACAAUUUCAUGAUUAACUAUAAUACAAAAAAGAAAAAUAAACCAUAUUUUAGGACAAAUUAAAAAGAAAAGAUGAAAUAUUUUUUUGAGGCAGAUCUAUUAUUCUUCUCACAAUAAUGAUUUUAUAAGUACAGUUUUUUUUUUUCUUUAUACUCAAAUGAUAUGAGAAGCUAAUUUUAUAAAAAACGAAGAUUAAUUUGUCUUUGAAUUUGUUUAAUAGGAUAAAAAAUGUCAAGAUUUGAUCUUUUUAGAUCAAUUUAACAUCUAAACUUAUUUAAAAUAAUUAAAAAGAUCAGAUUUAAUAUUUUGGAUUAAUUUAGUCCCUGACUAUUCGCUGUAUUUAUAACGUGAGAAUUCUUAUAUAGACAUUUAUUAAAAUUAUAGUUGGAAUCACGUGGUAUAAUUUAUUGAAAAAUUUAAUUAAAUAUCAAAUUGAGGAAAUAAUAUAUGAAAUAUAUUAUAUCCCUCUUUAUCUUGAUCUAUCAUUUUAAAUUCAUAAAUAUGUACUAAUUUAAAUAUUUUAAAAUUGAACUUUACUACUAGAUUAUUGCAUAUGCAGUUCAUGCAUUUCUCAUGUUAAACGAAUUCAAAGUUACACUACAUAUUUUAUAAAUUUACUGUGUUAAAGAAAUAAUAUUUUCGUGAUUUUAAAAUUCUAUUCAGAAGUAUUGGAAAAGUUUGAUCUAGAUAUUCCUAUUAAAUUGAAUCAAUUUAUUAUUUUGUAAAAAUCAAAAUAAAUUUAGUGGCUGAAUUGAUUUAAAAAAAAUCAAAUCUGACUUUUAAAUCCCAUAAAUAAGUUCGUGAGCUAAAUUAGUCUUUAUUCCAUUUUAUAACCACAAAGUCGUGUUUAAAAUUUUAAACAAUAUGGUUCUUAUGUUGCCUGUAACGGUUUCGUAUGCUCUAGUAGCUUUCUCUCUUUUGUCCAAGGUUUCUUGUCCUGCCAACAUGGAGAGGGACUUUAAUCAUUUGUCAAUCGCUGAUGAUGAGGAAGAAGGCUUGCCUGUUAACGCAUCUUCAGAUGCCACCAAGUCUACCUACGAAUUUUGUCUUGUCGACAUGUUCUUGACUUGCGGGACUGUGAAUUUUUAGUCCAUGCGAAACACUUUCGCAGAUUUGUGGCAUUCGCUCGGAGGGAUUAUAAUUACUGAUUUGGGAGCCAAACGUUUUCUGUUUCGGUUCUACAACAAAGUGGAUUUGGAUAGGGUUUUGAAUGGUGCCCCAUGGACUUUUAAUCGACACUUGCUGGUAUGGGGUCUGAUAAAAAAUGAUGAGGACCCGCUGCUGAUUCCUUUGCUAUACUCGGAUUUCUGGGUUCAGGUACAUAACUUGCCGGUCGGGUUAAUGUCUGCGGCAGUGGCCAAAUCAAUAGGGAAUUUCAUUGGUACUUUCAUUGAAUAUGACAUUAAGACUGUUCAUUUUGAUCCCAAUCAAUUUAUGAGACUGCAGGUUAAGUUGGAUAUUCGUACCUUUACGUAGAGGAAAGAAGUUGAUUGAUUCUAAUGGUAAUGUUCAUUAUGUCCAAUUCCAGAAUGAAAAACUUCUUGUGUUUUGCUAUACUUGCGGUCGCUUGGGACACACCGAUUCGUUCUGUAAAUUACAAUUGCACAAGUCUAAAAAAGAACUCAAGCCAGCUUGGGAUGAUCGAAUAAGGGUGCCGAUUCGCCGGAAAAUUCAGCAAACAACCAUGGCUGCAUGAUGAUAGAAAGUUUGAUGAUACUCCAAUCCAGGCAGAUAUUUCGGGAUGUGUGGGCGGGAAAUAUGGAGUUUUGAAAUCCCAACAAUUUUGAGCUUCCUUUUAUGGCACGAUAGUUAAUUUUAAUGUUAGUACUAAUCCCAUAGGCUUUAUGGAGACUGAUACAAAUUCUUUGAAUGGGUCCAAUACUGAUGGGCUUGACGAGGAUGUGGUCUUAGAAGAUGUGGGUGAAAUGAAGAAGAGGCCCCGAUGAUCCUUUUUGGUGAGGGUAUUAAAGUGGCUAGUGAUCCUUGAGGAGGAUCCUUUUUGCUGUAGAAUCAACGUGGUAGCUCUACUGUGGAUAUUGCCGUGAAGUACCUAUCGAAUUGGAGAGAAGUGUGUCUGCCACAUGAAGCUGCUGUGACGUCCAUUUCAGUGCUUCAUUGACAUGCACAUAAAGCACCAUCCAUUCACGCUCACAAUUUUGUUUGGAUUUGCUUCAUUGAUGGAUCAGUGUUCACAACCAUGGAUUUCAUUGGCUAUGCUUAUGUUAUUGAGGACAGUGAGGGACGGUUUCAACGUGCAGUGUCAGGGUUUCAGGAAGGCAAUGGCUCGGCGGUGGUGAUGGAGGCUAUAGCUCUUCGUUCCUGCCUUUCAUAUGCUCGUGAUUUUCUAUCUUUAAAUGGGUGUAUUUUUUCAAAUUGCCAAAAUCUUAUGAAUGCUCUCAAAUCCCAUUGUUUUAGAUAAUUUUGAAUUUGGUUUGAUUGUUCUUGAUUGUAAGCGAAUUUUAGAGUCUAGACAUGAUAUUACUGUCAGGUGGAUUCAGAGACAAGCUAAUAUGGAUGCUCACACUCUUGCUAGAGCAUCUAUACAUCAUGCUCGUUUCCAAAUUUGGGAUGAUGUUCGUCUUGUUAGUUAGAUUUUUUCCAUUGAGAUAAUGCAAUAUUAUUUCAUUUAAAACAAAUUUAAAACAAUAUAUAAAUUUUAUCAAACAAAUUUAAAUUAAUAACUCUAAAAAAUUUUAAUUUUUAGAUAUUAAAUGGUGUUAUUAGAUGUAAACUAAAUUUAUAUUGUUAUUUCAAUUUAAAUGUCUAAACAAAAUUCUCAAAUUCUUUUUUUGUUAAUAUUUUUUUGGAGAAAUAUAAUUCAUUAAUAAUAAAAGUAUUACAAAUACUCAAUUAGAUCAAAUAUAAAACUUAUUAUCAUAAUUAAUAAAAAGUUCGAUGAUCCUUCAACAAUAAAAGAAUUAUCUAUAUUUUUUUGAAUAGUAAAACUAAAAUUAAAAGAAACAGUUGGAGUUUUCCGCUUGAAAAAAACUUUGAUCGAUAUAAAUCUUCAUAGUAACAACUGAUCCUUUAAUUGAUUUGGACGAUAAAAUAACUUUUUCGAACUUUAUAUGCUUGGAUUGCUUUUUCAAAAAUUUGUUGCAUAUAACAUAUGCGGAUGAGUUUAAACCACUAUGGGUUAAUAGCAUGAAUGAAGGAACAGACUGUACUAUCAGGUUCCAUUGGUUGAAGAUACACAUCAGUAAAACAAGAUCGAAAUUCUCCAAUCAAAUAAAAUCAAAUGUCAUACCUUUUAAUAAUAAAUCUUCACAAGGAACUAAACCCUCUCAAAAGAAUGGGCAAAAAAACUCCAAAUAUGGAGACAAAACAAAUCAAUAACAAAAACAACAAUAACAAAAAUAUAUCUAUUAGAAGAAAAUGGAUUUGAGUUUAUUAAAAACAAAUAAAAGAUUAGGAGCCAGAAGAAAAAAAAAAAAAGUAUGGGGCUACUACUGAUUAACAAUGGCAACCUCAAACAAAAACUAUGAUUAAAUAAAUCAGAGAGAAAAGAGGAGGAGAGAAACCCUAAAACUAUCGAUUUUUUUUUUGUUAAUAUUUAAAAUGACGGUUUUUUUUUUUUUUUUUUUUUUUUUUGCGAAUGUUAAACAAAUCCCUAAAUAGUAUAGGUAAUAAAAUAAAAAAAAAUAUGUAUCACUUUAAUAAUAAUUUCAUGUUAAAAAAUGUUGGAAAAAUAGAGCUCUUGAAUAGGAAAAUCCGGUAUCGAAUUUUUGCUCUGCUAGGGUUUAUCACUUUAACAUUUAAAAAAAAAAAAAAACUAUUUUCAAGACAGUUCAUUUUCUAUUAUUUCUUUUUAAUAUUGAAUAUUAAUUAAAUAACUUACUUUUAAAAAUAUUUUUCCUUGACUUUUUUAAACACUUUAAAUAUAGAAAAAAUUCAAAAAUAUUUUUUAAAUAAAUUAUUUUCAAGAAAAAAUCUUGGAUAAUGGAAAUUUGGAAAAUUAGAUAAAUAAUAAUAAAACCUUAUGCACAGCAAACAUUUGUUAUAUGGUGUCCCAAGAAUAGUAAAACUUGUGGCUGAAUUUUGUAUUUCUUUUUUAGAUCACUCUCUAUCACGCUCUUAACAAUUCCCAUUUGCUGAAGUGGUCCCCAUAAAAGUAUUCUUGAUUGAGAUUUGAAUACGAAUUUCAAUUAAGUAAGCUUCAAGUUACAAACAUCAUCUUCACAAAAUUUCCUUCAUUGGUGAAGCAUUUAUCAUUUGGUAAGUUUUCUCAGAUUUAACACUAUGUUUGGAAUUGGGAGAUUUUAUGAUAGGAAGAAAAUUUUGAAUGGAAAAUAAGAAAAGAAAGCUAUUUUCCUCCUGCUUAAAUGUAAAUAAAAUUUGAAAGGAAAGAAAAUAUUACCAAAAUCCUUUCUGUCCCAUAUUUUAUUAAUCUCUCCAAAUUGGCGAGAAAAUAGGAGAUAAAUGUAUAAAAGGAUAGAAGUGUAAAUUUACAACAAUACAAUUUUCUUUCCUCCAUAUUUUAGACUUUUCUAAAUAAUAUAUAUAUAUAUAUAUUUUUUAUUUUUUUUUUUCCUUUCAAUCUAAACAUAAAAUGGAAAAUAAAGAAAAAAAGAGCUCUUGUUUUACUCGGCACAUGUACAAAAUAUAAGACAUCAAUGUGUUGAACAUGCAAAUCCCAUGCAUGUAUCUGCCAUGCAGGGAUUCAUAAUUAGCUCAACUGAAAAAUUGUUAAGAUCUUUCUUCAUUGUCUUUUUGUCAUAUAAAAAAACACGAGAAAAAUAAAAUAAAACAAGAAAAGGAAGCGCAUGCACAUGCCUGUAAAUGUAUAAUAUACAUCCAUCCAAAUGGGCAAAGAUUAGAUGCCUUCUCACCAUUUUUCCGCGCAUCCAAAACCGUAAGGGGCCACUCACACUUGAUGUGCAGGAUACUUAAAUCAGUUACGCAGCCAGAAAAUUAAAAUUAGAGAUAAAAAAAUUUUCAAGAGUUAACAAGAGUGAGAUUAAAAAUUUUAUUAUUUUAAAAGGAAAAAUAAAAAAUUUUAUUAUUUUUUAUUAUUAGACUAAUUUUAAAAGGUAAAAUAAUAUAUUUUCAUAUAUUAUUAGACUAAUUUUAUUUUAAAAUUUAAUAUUAUUUCUUCUAAGUAUUUUUUUAUGAAUAGAAAUUUUAAUAGAGAAUUAGAGAUCAUCCACUGGAUUUAAAAGUUAAAAUAUAUUUAUAAAUUAUUUCAUCUAUUACACUUAAAUUAUCAACUUGUAGCUUCUUCAUACAAAAUAAGGAGAUAAUUAAUUUAUCUUAAAUCUAUAAAAUUUUCAUUUGAAAUUAUUUUAAUAUUUAUUUUAUAAAAUAUUAUUAAGAGCGAAUGAAUAGUGAGAUCCAAUAAAGAAGAGUAAAAAAUUAAAAAUGUAAUAUACUCUUUUCUAAAUUAUAUAAAAAAAUGACACUUAAAAUAGAACAAAAAAAAAUCUUAAAAGUUAAACAGAAUAUCGGAAGUAUAAAUAAUAGAUUUUAUUUUUUAUUUUUUAAAAAUCGAAUUAAUCAGAGCAAUACUAACAAAAUAAUAUUGUAAAGUUACUUAGGACAUCCCUUCCUCUUAUCUCUCCGUGUGGUCGCUUUCAUUGGCUUCAUAAUCAUACACAUAUUCAUGGCCCACUUACGAAGCCAUCUCACAACCACAAAAUAUAAUUUUCAAAAGAAAAAUGACCGUUCGGACAGCUUGUUAAGUUUUUCCACACUUCUUCCUCACUUUCCCACUCUCUAUAACGGCUACAAUAGAAGGCUCUGGAACAAUCUACCUGUUUUAAGACGGCGGGACACGUGUAACCAAUCACAUGGGCUGCUUUUGCUCGAAAAUGGAGAAGAAUAAGCUGUAGUGUUACUCUUAGAUGUGAAUUAUUUGCUUCAAAUGAUGCUUUAGUUGUUUCUAGUGAAAAUAGAGCAAUAGUAAUUUUUUUUUUUUACCAUUUAAUAUGAUGUACAAUGAAUUUUUUACACUAUGUACUAUUAUGCAGCAGUUACAACAUUUUAAAGUCCAUCAAAUAGUAUAAUCCAUUAGAAAAUCCAAUAAAUUUCUCAUUGCUCUUUUGAAUAAUAUUUACUAUAUUUGUGCAUAUUAAUUAUUAAAAAAAAUUUAUUUACACCCGGUGUUUGGAUCUAUUUAUACAUCAAAUCAAUCACAAAUAAUAUUUUGAUUUAAUCAAAUGUAUUUCUAAUCAUAUAUUAAAAAAAGAUAAAAUAAUAAUUUUUUUGAUUGGUUUACUGAAUGAGACUACCCAUAUACUAAGUGUUGAUAAAAAUUUCCUUAAUUAUUAUAGAAAAGUUAGAAAUAAUUCAAUCGCUUUUCCUUAACUUACUUUUUUGCACUUAAUGUAAUAAAAAAAACUUCAAAACUUUAAUAAUGUAAAAUGAUUCUUACUAAAUUGUAUAGUUAAGUCUAAUAGGAUUGUUGAGACUUUGGUUCUUAAUUUAUGAAAUUUCAAUUUUUAUCCUAAAAAAAAAAAAACAAAGUAACAGGAAAGCUCAUAUAAAUGAACAUGCAAGAGAAAAAAAAAUCAUUUUUUAACUAAAGUAAAUUAUUGCAUACUUCCCUCCUAGAUUACUCUGAAAAAUAAAAAAUAAAAUACACAAAAUUAAAAAUAUACGAGCUUUGUUAACAGAUACAUAUUACGUACAUUUACGAUUACAUUCUUAGCAUAAUAUCAAAAUUUUCAAAAACAUUACAGUUCUUUUAUUCUAUUUACAUUGUAAGUAUCUCUCUACACAGAUUAUGCCAAAAAUACUUUUUGAAUAUCAGUUAAUCAGAUUUAAAAUAGAAUCAGGUGCAGGUGAUAUUACUUAAAAAAAUAAUAUUUCACUGUGCCACGGCAUAUAAGAUAAAAGUGUAAUCGGCAUAUAAGAAGGCACAAAAUCAAGAGAGUUGACAUGAAUGGACUGCUGUUGGGAGUGUGAGUUGGACGGAUUUGAAAUAAAGAUAAGAGGAAAGGCAUAGGUGGGACCUGUUUACUGUGCCACAGCAUGAACCGUGAUGUUUUUUGCCAGCUGGUGGACACGUGAUUCUUGAUUAGUUCAAUUACUGCAUUUGAUCAAACAUGGCCCCACUCUUUGAAUAUUUAAUUUAAGAAAAAAACCCAACCAGAACACCUCAUAUUUCCUGACUGAAAUGCUUGCUUGCUGCGGGCUACUACAAUAUAUAAGAUAUAUCUAUACUGAAACCCUUUAUCUUUAAUUGGCAUUAUUAAAAGAUUUUGUAACCUUACACCGUGGAAAUACUGGAAAUGACAAUUUUAACUCAUUUAAAUGUAAAAGUUAAUUAACAAAUUUAUUUUGGAUAAUUUAUACAAAAUAUGAAUAAAUAUUGUAUUUCUAAAAUAUAAGUCGUUUAAAGUAUUGCAUGCGAUUAAUGAAUCAAUUAAUUUCGCUAAAAAUUAUAUCACUCCGUCUCAAAAUUUAAGUUGUCUAAGGUGAUAAUUUUAUCACAAAAUAUAAGUCAUUUUGAAUAUUUUAAGAAAUUACAAAUGAUUUUUUUUCUUUCAACUGUAUCCUUAUUUAUAUUAGAUAUAAUACAACGAUGUGAGAUAAAAGUAACAAUGAGAGAUAAAUGAUAAUUUGUUCAAAUUACUCUUGAUUUUGUUAGAAAUUUAGAAAAAUUAAUUGCAUUUUUAAUUCUCGUAUAAAAAUCUUAAACGACUUAUAUUUUGGACAAAUAGAGUAAUAAACUCAACAAUAAUUUGAUUUAUGAGAAUUAAUUUAAACGAUCAAAUUAUCCUUAAUCUCAAAAUCAAGUUAUUGUAUUAUGAAUAAAGUUAAAAUUGGAAAAAAGAUUAUUUGUUAAAUAUGUUUUGAAAUCAAAUAGUUUUAUGAGUUAAAAAGAUUAGAAAUAAUCAUUUUUUAAAUUCAUUUGGUGUUAAAUUGGGAUGAUAAAUUAUCAAAAAAAAAAAAAAAAUAUAUAUAUAUAUAUAUAUUUGACAAACAGAUUGAAAGCUAGUUCUUUUGAAAGUUUACUGAGAACACAAAUUACAAGCUCAUAGUAGUUAGUAGCUUGAUUAAGGAAACCCAUGAAGGACAAAAUGACAGUGGCAAAUGCCUUUGAGACCAAAAGGCUUCAGCUUCAAUUUUUUAUAACGUAACAUUUAAUAUCUUUCUCUUUAUGAUUUUUAAAUUAUUGUAAUUGCUAUCAACAGUAUAAAGUAUAGAAAAUUCAUUAUAUAUAAUAUUGAAUAAAAAAAAAAAAAGGGUGAGAAAUGUCAUUAUUUAUAGAAUUAAUUCACACAAACAUAAAUGCGAAGCUUCAUUCUACCUUUUAGGUGCUACCAUUCACUGAAGGGGAACGCACGCAUCAUUGAAGCUCAACGCCUGUCUUUUGCACUUUUCAAACUGAAUCAUUUCAUUCGUGAAAUAAAUUGAUGGAUAAAGGGCAAUUGCCAAACAAUAUUAACGGCAAAAACAAACGAGUCUUUUUUUUUUUUCUUUUUCUUUUCUUUUCAUUAGAAUAUUUAAAGUAUUGGUUAGAGGUAUAAUUAUAAAAUAUAAUUGAUCUCAUAAUUAAUCUUUUCCUUUUCUUAAUAAUAAUCAUUAUAGUCUUGCUUUUGGUGUUAUAGUUGUUUUUUUUUUUUAAUAAUAAAAAAAUAAUGUAUUAUGUCAAUCGAAUGUGAUCUGAUUGGUAUUUCCAUUCACCUUGAGAAGUUUCAAAUUUUAGAUAGUUAACUAUCAGAGUUAUCGUCAAUUUUGCUUAUAAAACAACAAGAGAGCUACCUAUAUUAUGCAGCCCACAAAAAUUCUUUAUAAUAAAUUAAAAAAAUAUUAUUUUAUUAAAAUUGAUAUAUUAUAUUUGUUAUUUAAUAGUUUGAACUAGAAAAAUAAGCUACUAAAAUUCACACAGAUUUUCUUAAAUAUAAAUUUUUACUAUGAAAAAUAGAAAUCAAAGUCAGAAAACAGAAAUGAUACAAAAUAGACACGUAAUCAUAUUUGAUGAGCAUUUCUCAUAAUACACGUUAGCUUGUUUAGCUUGUUUCGUGUAAAUUGAUGAUCCCAUUCUGUUUCGACAUAAAUGGUAUCAUUGGUUAUUAUAAACAAUUUCAAAAAUUUUUGAGCUACCACCAUAAAUACAACUUGUAUGAUUUCAAUUUUCAAAUUUAAAAGUUAUCUAAUAUCUACUUUAUCAAUGGACCUACACCUUUCCAAAUUUCUUGUUAAUCUUAUGCAUUAGAAAAUUUAGCCAAAUAAAAUUGAUAUUAUAUAUCAAUUUUAUUUAUUUUUCAAUUUAAAAUCACAAGUUUAAUUAUCGGAAAAUGCAUAUACUAUGAAGAAAAAAUUUUUAUAAUCAACUAUCCAAAAGAGAUUAGUUUACACCAAUAUAGUAGAAGAAAAAUAGUGGAAGAACACGUGACGAUUCUAAUAUGAUAUACAUAAACUAAAAAUAUUUUAAAGGAGUCUUCACUUAUAAUUUUGUUUUCAAAAUUUAAUACUUGUAAUUUGUUUUAACCAACUAUUUACUAUUUUUAAUUGAUUUUGUAAACUCAAAACUCCAUUUAUUUUUCAAAAAAUAAUUUAUUUUUAAAAAAUAUUUUUAAAAGCAAAACAUACUUGAAAAUUUGAAAUAACACAUUUUCUAUUGUUUGGUUACAAUAUUGAAAAAUUGUUAAAAAAUAUUAAAGCUUUUAUAAGAUCGAAAAAAUUUAUAAUUAUAAAAAGUUUCACAUUUUAAAAUUUUAUUAUUUAAUACAACAUAAAUAUUUAUUACGUGCUUGAUUGUAAUUUGUAUCUAAGACUUAAUCAUAUUUUAUGGACCAAAGAUAUAUUUUGUAUAGAAUCCAGAUAGAAAUAAGAGAUUAUAUUCCUAAAUCCUUCGCUAACUCUCAAUGAACUAGCAAUCACUCCAAAAUACUUAUUGAAUUGGUAUUUCAAAUAUUUAUCUAAUAAAGAUUCCACCUACAACUCUAAUGAAAAUUCUUUACCUCUGUAUAAAAGAGGGAUCAAACUCCCUACUCACACUAUUUAGGCAAUGUAAUACCAAUAUAUUUCAUUCAAUUAUAAGUAUUUAUUAUUUAUUUACUGACUUAAACAUAAAAGUGAUUGCAGGCCUAGAUGAGACCUUUAUUAUUCGUUUAUGUCUUGCAGAUUUCUACGGACCUCUCUUUAUUUUUCCUUGUUCAUUUAUGUCUUACAGAUUUUUACAUAGGCGCUAUGGAUAGAUUUUUCUAAGUCUAUCAUUAUUAAAUAUGAGAAACAAUAUUAUAAAAAAAGAUAAAUUACGAUAUCUAUCGAUGACCGUGGUCGUGAAAAUAAUGAUUAAUUAAUAAUAAAUAUGUAUUUAUAAGUUUAUAAUAAAUUUAUCAGUAUCUGAAAAAUAUUUUUCUCUUUUAGAAAAAGAAAGUUAUAAAAAUGAUUUAGUUCUCUCUUUCUUAAGGAAAAUAUCAUCUGUUGCUAAUUUUCUUGAACACUUCAAACAUUAAAAAAAAAUCUAAAAAAUAUUAUUCAGACAAGUUAUUUCUCGAAAUUAAUGGAAUCUCAAUAUUAAUUUAUUAUUAUUUUUUCCAUUGAGAAAAAAAUAUAUUAGAUUUAUUCCACUAUUGAGAAUAAAGGAAAUCAUUUAAAAUAAGAAAGCUCAAAAAGUUAUAGCCGUAAUACUAAUAGCAUUAUUUCAAAUUUGUUUGACAUGAUGUAAUCAACCGAAAUGAUAAUUACAUUAUAUGAGUAAUUACAUUAUUUGAUUAGACUUUUUUUAAUAGCGUAGUAUAAUUGAGACUACGUGUAUAAUCUUCAUCACUUAAAUUGAUGUAAUACUCAUUACAUGAAAAAACACACAUAUUGUCUAUUACAUCAAGUAAAUGGAAUACCGAUUAUAUUAAGUCAUCCCAAUCAAAACUCUACCAUUCUAGAUUAUUUAGGCUGUGUUGGGUAAUAAAGUUUUGAGUGGCUUUUAAAGUUUUGACUGGUCAAAACGUUACUUAAAAAGUUGUUUGGUAACAUAGCGUUUGGACUAGCUUUUAGAGAUUAGAAUAACGUUUUGUGAAAAGUUAACUCACGUAACGUUUAGCUUUUAGCGUUUCAUGAAAAACUACUCAAACAGCUAACAACUAAACACUAUUAAAAUAGCAAAUAGCUACCAAAAUAGCUAAUUUUGCCGAACAUAUCCUUAAUACUACCACUUCACCACCACAACCACUAUCACCGCUUCACCACCACAGCACCACCUUAACACCCACCACAACCACUGCCACAAUUACUACUCCACCACCACCACCACCACUACUGUUCCAUCACUACUUCAACCACCAUUACCGCUCUGCAACGACAACCAUCACCAUUGUUCUACCAUCACCACUACUACCACCAUCACUGCUCCAUCACUAUCACCUCAACUACCACCACCGCUGCUGCUGCCUCAACUCCUACCAUCAUCGCUCCACCACCACUAUCACCACCAUCGCUUUACCACCACCACCAUGUGGUGGUGAUAUGAUUAGUGGUGAUGGUGUGCUAAUUAUAUUACAUAUUUACAAAAAAAAAAAAAAAGAACGAUGAUUAUAUUCCUAAAUUUUCUUGAUAAUAUUAUCAAACAUAGUAAUGAAAUCUUAAUUAAAUUACGUUUUUCAUCACAUUACUUCUUUAAUUACAUUAUAUUGCCUUACAUCAAACCAGACAUAGCGUUAGCAUGUAUAUCCUCAUACACAUCAAAACUUGACUCUAAUAUCUAUGAGAAAAAUGCACAGUUAAGCCCUUAAAUUUAAUCAGUUUUUCCAUUAAACUUUUAUUUAUGAAUAUUAAGUUUUUAAACUUUUAUUUUUUUUAAAAAAAUUAAACUCUAUUUAACCGAGAUUUAAACUUUUAUUUUUUUAAAUUAAACUCUUAUUUAAUUAUGAGUUAAACAAUUAUAAUCCCAUAUGUUAUACGCGGUUGAUGGGAAAACUUAAUCGAAUUGUUAAAUCUCUUAAACUUUUAUUUUUUGAAAAUUAAGUUUUUAAAUUUGUACUUUUGUUAAAGUGAGUAUUUAAAUUAUUUCCAUUAUCAGUGAUUUGAAUUUAUUAUUUACUCACUAUCGAUUUAGAACUUAAUUUUAACUUAAAUAAAAAUUGAAGGAUUCAAUAUUGAUAAAUGAAAUUGCAGGAGCUUAGUAGACAAAACUUGAAAAAUAAGAGGCUUAAGUACAUCUUUUACCAAAUAUAAUCAAGAGUUAAUUUACACUCACACAUAGGUGAGGAUAGGAUUAGGAUAGAAGUGUGGUAAGUGCCCGCGAACUUUGAGUUAUCCAUAUCUAUAUCUGUUUAGAGCUUUAAAAUCAAUUGUAUCUAUGUUAAAUCCGUUUAAAUACCUAUAUCAAAAUCUGUUUAAAAUUUUACUGUCCGAUCCAUUCAAAAUCUAUUUUAAAUACUUGUAUUUGAUGUUCAUAAAAUUUAAACCAUUUAAACACGAACUUAUUUAAAAAAGUAUCUUCCAUUGAUAAUGGAUAAAGUAUCAAGGAUACUCACAGUAAAACUCAUUUAAUAUAAUGGAUAACAAGUAACGAAUAUUCAAACUCAUUUAGUAAAACUCCUGAAUUCAAACGACAGGAUUUGCAAGUGAAGAGAGAUGGAACCUAAAACGGUUGGCUAUGUACUCAAUGUAGAUUCACUAACAAAGUACAACAAAUGCAAAUACCAAGUAAAAAGGAACAAAUGGUUAAGAAUUCAGACAAAGUCCUAACUUCAAAGUUCAAAGUUCAAACCAUAAAAUCAUUUCAGUAAGGAGAAAUCAAACUAAAACUUUUGAAUGUUAAAAUUUCAACUUUAACCACAGAACCAAAACCCUGUUAGCUAUGUACUAACACAAAGUGCAAGAAACACCGAGUACGAACUCAAGCACAGUAAGAUUGAGCUGGAUUGCCCAUAACCCAAAAACACUAGAAUGUGUCUGGUGUGGAGGGGUCCAGAAGCCAACUUAAAUAGAAGCAGAGGGACAACACUGGAAAUUAUGAUUUAAAAAAAAAAAAAAAAAAAAAACUAAAAAGCAAAGAGAGAAACAGACAAGAAAUAACCGUUGUAGGGGUGGCUUUUUGGGUUGGAUGCCAGGCUGACGCUUGAGCCCCCCUCAGAUGAUUCAGCUCACAUGGUCUAUCUGUACACUCUGGGUCCCACCCUCCACUUUCUCUCUCUACUACCCUCUUUGGAUUAGUUGUCAAAUGAUCCUUUUAUGUUAUCAUAUUACACACUUUCAUCCUAUCUAUUUCAAAGUUACUAACUUUAGUUAAUGAGAUUUAAUCUGCCAAAUGCAUAAAUUAAUAUCUAAAUUUUAUAAGAAGAGUCUAGUAGCACCUUUAAACGUUGAAAACUUCUUUUCGUAAAAUUAUAGCUAGUAAAUGCCUUAAUUUAAAAAACCGUAUUUAUUAAAUACUUAAACGUAUAUAAUUAUGUUUAUUAAAUAUUUAUCGGAUGAUUUAAAAUAUAAAAAUUUUAUUAUUUAAUAAAUUAUAUUAAAAGUUAUAUAAAAUGUUACACUUAUUGAAUAUAUUAUUUAGUAAUUGUUGUAAAAUUAAAAACCCUGUUUUUUUUUUUUUCAAAUUAAGUUGAUACUUAGUCUCAACUGUGCUUUUAUCCAUAAUUUUAAAUAAUUUAUUUGUAGAAACCCUAAAAACCAUAUAUUUUUCGUUGACAUAUCAUAAAAAUUAAAAUUAUUAAUUUCAAACUGUUUAAAUACUGGUAAAAUGUAAAAUAAUGCAAAUGGUGACAGUUUUUGCAACCAACUUUUUUUCUUGGAAAUUCUCUGUAUUACAAUCGUCUUUUAUAAUAUUUUUAUUAAUAUUAUUUUGUUCCAAACAUGCCCUUGUCUUAUCCAAAUAAUGCCCCGUACUCUCCUGCCCUUCUCUCUAUUCUUAUAAGGGCAGUGGCCUGUGGAUCAAAGACCACAGUCCCAAGAGAGAAGAGAAAGACAAAGCAAUUAAGCUCACAAGAGAGAAGCUCUUCUAUUUUCUAGAGUAAGAAAGAAGAAAGAAGACGAUGGCCAAGGAAGUAAGUGAAGAAACGCAAACUACCCAUGCAAAGGAUUAUGUUGAUCCACCACCUGCGCCACUGAUCGACAUGGCUGAAAUCAAGCUCUGGUCUUUCUACAGAGCUUUAAUAGCUGAGUUCAUAGCCACUCUCCUUUUCCUUUACAUAACUGUAGCCACUGUAAUUGGCUACAAGAAACAAACUGAUCCAUGUGGUGGAGUUGGUCUUUUGGGCAUUGCAUGGGCCUUUGGUGGCAUGAUCUUUAUCCUUGUUUACUGCACUGCCGGUAUAUCUGGUAAGUAAAAAAAAAAGGAACUAUUUCUCUAAGUUACUAGUACCCAAAUGGGUAUUUAUUAAGUUUUAGGUUUCUGUGAAGUUUCUUUGUGGAUUUGGUCAUUCAACUUGAAAAAUAACAAAACCCAUUUGUUUUCAAGACCUGUUUAAUAAUGGGUUUUCCUUAUUUUGGUUACAGGUGGUCAUAUUAACCCAGCAGUGACCUUUGGGCUGUUUUUAGCAAGAAAGGUGUCACUAAUUCGAGCCUUGGCUUACAUGGUGGCUCAGUGUUUAGGUGCCAUCUGUGGUGUAGGGUUGGUCAAAGCUUUUAUGAAGAAUCCAUAUAAUCAUCUUGGUGGUGGUGCUAACUCUGUAAAUACCGGCUAUAGCAAAGGAACUGCUUUGGGUGCUGAGAUCAUCGGCACUUUUGUUCUAGUCUACACUGUUUUCUCUGCAACUGACCCCAAGAGAAGUGCACGUGACUCACACGUUCCUGUAUGUUAUCAACCAUAGCCUAGUAUAGCUCUCCUCUUUCAUGUCAAAGAGUUCAAAUCUAAACUUUGUUUUGGUUAUGUUUGGUUGCAGAUUUUGGCUCCACUUCCAAUUGGGUUUGCAGUUUUUAUGGUUCACUUGGCUACCAUACCCAUUACUGGUACUGGUAUUAACCCAGCGAGGAGCUUCGGUGCUGCUGUUAUUUACAACAAUGAUAAAGUCUGGGAUGAUCAUGUAAGCCUCUUGAUAGUCAACCAGAAACUUAUUUUUCUUGAUUUUAUGGUUGUUUUGAAGUUGGUGCUUUUUAACAUAAAACAUCAGAAGUAGGUUAAUUUUCAAGAAUAUGUUUAUCUUCUUGAUAAAAUAAUUUAAUUUCCUUUUUAAUUAUUUUUUGGAUGGGCAGUGGAUUUUCUGGGUUGGACCGUUUGUUGGAGCAAUUGCAGCAGCUGCAUACCAUCAAUACAUACUGAGAGCAGCAGCUAUCAAAGCUUUGGGAUCUUUCCGCAGCAACCCCACCAACUAAAAUGAAAGAAAGAACGAAAGAAAGAAAAACAAGAAAAAAAAAAAAAACCAAAGGCUUUGUGUAGCUAUCUUUAGUCUCUAGUCUUUCUUUUUCUCUAUUUGUUUGUUUGUUGUGUGUAAUGAGAGGAUUAUGAUGAUGACCCUUCUUUCUUCUUUCUUUUUUUACUUCAUUUUUUCUUUUCUUAUUGUUCUUUUGUAUCAUUGUUAAUGAGUAGUGCUGUUCUUUUUUCUUUCUUUUGAUCAUAUUUAAUUGCUUUGUGCAGUGUAGAACGUUCUCUCUCAACACUCUUUUAAUAAUUAGCCACUAAAUAAACUACCAGCUAACUAAAUUUUUAUCCUCUCGACCUUCAUUACAGCGGUGCUAGUGAAUUUGUGAGUAGCGGUUAGGCCAUCUUCGGGAACAGUUUUUUCAUAUGGC